This 54234-nucleotide long non-coding RNA is filed under the name Olea europaea (common olive). Its description in RNAcentral is "long non-coding RNA (OEUR_LNC005266)". Lineage: Eukaryota; Viridiplantae; Streptophyta; Magnoliopsida; Lamiales; Oleaceae. The record is from RNAcentral.
GAAAAUUAUACUAGUAAAACACAAUAAUAUACAAUUCACAGAAAAAUAAUUUUUAGGCAAUUCAAUUUCCUGAAAUUCGUUUUCAAUUUAAUUCAAUUUUAUCUUCGCAACAAACGGACCCUUAUUUUUAAACCAAAAGUAUAAUUAACGUGUUUUUCCCAAAAAACGGAAAAAGGCCCAACCUUUCAUUUCCUAAUACCAUAAACAAUGGAUGUACAGAAUACAUUUCAAUUUCUCUCUCUCACCUUUUCCACCGUCACACUCCGACGACGGCACCACCGAAAAUUCACGCCUCCUCUUUUCUGAUAACUUUUGCUCAACUUCUUUAAAAAAAAAUUGAAUUGAAAAAUUGGUUGCAUCAACCCAAAGGCUGAAUUUCUUUCUUUUUCUUAACUCACCCCGUACUCUGGCUACAACAACACCCGAUUGCAGAUCAUGGGCAGAAGCUUUAUAGGUAUUCGAUUGUUUGAUUCGCCAAGUUUCACCAGUAGAAGGCGUGGAUGAGUUUGUAAGUGUCGUUCAUUUUUUUUCUACCAGUUAUUUAUUUAUUUUUUUCCUUCUUUUUGUUUGGAUGCAUUUUUUUAGCAUUCUAUUUAUUCAUACUCGGGAAAUGGGUCUAAGCCACUUCUUAGGUUUUUUCUAAAUUUUAUUUGCCCAAUUUCUUCAGUCUCUGUUUAUUUUCUGUGUGCCGUGGAAAUGUAUCGUUAAUGGAUUGCACCAAUUCAAUUUGUAUUUCUAUAGAAGUACAGAAAGAACCCUUAUCUAUAGAUUUGCAACAUUGACAUUGCUAAAAAUUAUCUAGUCACUCUGCCAAAUUCAGGUUUUGAUAAUGUGUAUAUGGUUGCUGUAUGUGUUUAAAAUUCCAUGUCACAUGAAAGCACAUUUUCUUGAAUGCUAUGCUGCUGAAAUUUUCACAACCAUUGAUGUCAGACUUCUGUACCAUAUUAAAUUUUAGGAUUAAACCACAUCUACAGCACAUCAUGGUUCAUAGCCCCCUCACAAUGAGGGGACCUCACCUCGGUUUUAUUUAUUGUUAAUAUGUGCGGGCCCCCUCCGAUGUGAGGGGGCUGUCAACCGUGCGGUGUGUUGAGCUGUGCACACAGCACGGUCCUAAAUUUUAAACAGAUAGAUGCUGCUGCAAAUUAUGAAUGCUAUCAGUGAACGUUGCAGCAAAUUGAGAAAUGAUGACUUACCAAUUUUGAUUUGCUAUAAACAAGUUUUUAGGGAAAACAUUCAAAUUAAUCAAGAAUGCAUUACAGGUAGCUACUGUGAACUUUUAUGACAGACAACAAUAUCAUCACUUUUAGACAAUAAAGUUUCAAAUGGCACACCAUAUUAGCAUUUUGGCUGCUAAUAAUAGCUGAAACAAUUUUACAGAACAUGUGUUAUUCUGGAUCUCACUGUUGCACUUCAUUACAAUAUCAACAAAAAAUAUGAAGUCUCACAUUGGCAUGUUUGUUUUCUAUUAUUUACCCAUUAAAAUGAAAAAUACGACCAUUAUCCAUCACAUCAAGUCACCAUAUUUGACUUUCUAUCUCUUGUGGGGUUUCGUAACAACUAUAUUUUUCAUUCUUAUUUUUACAUUAAUGUGUACCAAACGAGCUCUAAUACCCAAUAGUUUAUAAAAUAAAACAUUUUGAUCUAUUUUUUUGUAGUUUCUCUUUAACCAAAUCAUUCACUUCUAAAGGUUUGUCCUGUCACUUAUGUGUACGAAUUGUUGAUAUUCUGCAGAAUUAAAGAAUGUAUGAUGCCUAGCGUCUUGUGUUUAUUAAGUUGACACCAUUCUGUAAAAUUAAACAGUAACAAUAACUAGUUAAAAAGUAAAAUCCAACCAAUCAUAGAAAAGAGAAAGUUGGUAUUGAUUAUAAAAUUCUUGUUGAUGGAAUUAGUUUUUCUUUGAAAACAAGUUGAUCCCCAUAUUCGUUUUUAUUUGUCCUUAUAUAUUAUUUUAGAUUUACUGGUCAAGUGAGCAAUUUUUUUCUUAUGGUUUUCUUAAGAAAUCUAAACAUAGCUACCUCAUUUGAGAGAGAUAUAUAUAUUCAUGCUUCUAGAAACAAAUAUGGAAAGCAUAAUCACUUGGCAUUUAUCUGACUUUAUUUCUUUGUAAAACAAGUAAAGCAAAAGUUCAAUUAAAAUAAAAUGAAAUUAGUGAAAUACAAAUCUGAAAACGAAUUAAUUGAAGAAACACAAACACGAGCACACAGAGAAACUUAUAUAUGGCACGCUCCUCGUAUAUAGAUAAGUUGUACAUCAUUCAUAGAAGAUUAAUGUUAUUUGCAAUCGCUCACUAUCUUAGUCGCUUACUAUCGUAGUCGCCCUGUGUGACAUACAUAUGACGAUUAGUGAUUUGAUACAUUAAUGUGGUAGUUUUUAUUACCUUAUAUAACAAUUCAUUAACCUCCACAUGUUUGUCACAUAAGAUAACUGUGGCAGUAAGCAAUUGCCCGUAGCUUUAUUCUUCAUAGAAUCGGUGAAAAGUUAGAACUCUGUUAUCUUUAUUAAUCUUCAUUGUCCCAAAAUUCUUGCACUAGAAUGUUUUUCUCAUAUAAGUAUUUUGCUAGAAAUAUUGUACUGUUCCUUUAUUUCAAAACAAUAUUUCUACUUUUUCUCUCAAAUAAUCUGUUUGAUAAGGUCAAAAUGAUUGUUUUAUCUAUAAUUUUAAUUGAGAAAACUAAUAAGAUCCUUAAUUUAGGGGGUUUCCUCAAUUGAAAUUGGAAUGAAUUUUAAAAUUCUUGUAUAUUCAGGUGAUCUCAAUUGAGAUUUUAAUGAAUUUUAAUGAAAUCUAUUAAAAUUUAGGAGUUUUCAAUUGAUAUUUAAAUUAAAUUCAAUGAAAUUCUUUAAAAUUUAGGUAUUCUUAAUAAUUAAUGAAUUUAUAAUGAUUUCAUUAAUAGAAUGGUUUUAAAAGAUUUGGAUGGAUUUCAAAUUUAAAAAAUACAUAUAAUCAAAACGAUCAAAAAAAGAAAAAAAAAAAGUACAUACAAUCAAAUCUUUUCAAAUUUCAUCAUAUUUGAGGAGAUUUUUAUAGAAUUUGUGGAAAUCUAUUCAAAUUCACGAAAUUUUGUUACUGUUUAUAAUCUUUUAAAAUCUAUCAAAAUUUUAGUUGAAGACACCCUGUCAAACUUUGGCCAUUACAAGAGCACUAUUUUGAGAAAUUGCUUAUCUUAAAAUGCAACGUGAAAAGUUAAAAUUGUUAUAAUAAGCGAUUUUAUUUCUCGAAGGGGUUAUUCUUUGAUGAUCAUAUGAUAUACUAAAGAACCACUGCAAUACAAAGUACAUUGAACUUAACGUCGGUAUAAUUUUUGCACUUGAAAAGGUUGUAUGGAGAUUUCAGAUGUUUGAGAAAAAGAAAGCCGACUAAGAGAUGAUAAAAUGUUUCGAUCAAAUUAAUUGUCACUAAGAUCAAGGGCAUUUAAAGUUCUCAACCUUGACAUUGCUAAUAAUGUGGCGAGAUUAUUUAAUCCAACAUCUGCAAGUGAUGGCGAGGGGGAAAACGAAUGGAUGGAACUAUUGUGCCAACAAAUUGAGGUGUUGAAACAACAUGUUAACAAUUUUCUAUCUUGAUAGUCUGACAAUCACAGAGAUGCAUCGGUUUGUAAGUAGGAGGAGGAGGGCUCUGACGACGAUGAAUGCCUUUUGUUCCUUCUAAUUCUAAGCCAGAGAUGAAAUGUUACUUUUUUAUGAUGCUUUAUAAUUGAUAAGUUCACAAAUACAUUGACGACCAUCCAAUUUGGGAGGAGGAACCUAAUGUUAAUUUGGAGAAAUGGUCCAUAAAAUCCAACUUUAACCUUAAAGCUGCUGAAGUUAGUAAAGCUAGUUUUCGAAAGUAAGUUUGGUGAAGUUGGCUACUUUUACCACCAGUCAAAAUUUUCACCUCCAUCGUGCACUAAUCUAGAAUUUUGCAAUAAUAUUAAUUAUUUUACACAAAUAGUUUACAGUUUUUUUAAUUAAUUUUAUGUUUAAGAUUACAAAUUUGGAUAUUUGGUGAUCUUCACGUCGAGGACAUGUUAAAUUUAUCUAUUUAUUAUUUAUUUAAUUUUUUUGUAAAUAAAUAACUAGCGAAGCAUUAAUAUAAAUCUUUUCGUUAACCAAAUGUUUGAUACUCAACUUCAAUAAUUGUUACACCAUCAAAUCACGUCAAAGGAAAACCUGCAACUGGUUCGUUACUUCGAAUGAUCAAAUCUGGGAAGAAAAAAAAAUGAUAAAAUUGAUUAGAUAGAUGAUAAAAAUAUAUUAGUUACAAAAAAGUUAGUAUAGUAUAAAAUGAUCUUCAUACAAAAUUACAGCAGGUACCUUCAUUUUGAAUAUGGGAAUACUUUCCAGAACACUUGGCCCUCAGAAUUGGAUUGUAUAAAUCUCAAUGAAAUGGAACCAUACUCUUCUCCAAUGAGGAUUUAUGUACAGAACUGUAGCAAUGCAAAGCACAACACAUAUGUAAGAUACGAUGAAGCUUACAUAGAAGACCUCCAUGUCCAUGAAACCGCGCUCCUCACUUUCAUCAUUAGCAGAUGGUAGGACAGGUGAUGAUCUAGUGCUAGUACAGUUGACUGGUAAUGGACGACCACAAAGAUAAGGAUUUCCCUGGUAGCUAUCUUCACCGAAGGUUCCAAACUGACCUUUCUCUGGUAUAGUACCUAUUAAAUUGUUAUGUGCCACGCUGAAGACUUCUAAAGUGUUUAACUCAAUCAGAUCAUUGGGGAUCUUCCCACCCAAGUUGUUAUAGGAGAGAUCUAAGCUCUCGAUCUGAUGUAGGCUUGAGAAUGUUGCUGGAAUUGUUCCAUUAAGAUUAUUGUGGGACAAGUUGAUUGCAUGGAUCUCACUUAACUUUCCAAAGCUGUCCGGAAUUUCACCAUGUAAUUUAUUAGAAGAGAGAUCAAUUCCAGACAUGUUAUUGAGGAUGUAACCUUUGUAAGGAUAAGAAUUCUUCUUUGUCGUAAAUGCCACUAUAAUUGGCACUCUGUCGAGUACAAUUAUUGUUAACUCAGAGUUCUCCUUGGUUUUCCCCAGUGAUAUGUUACCAAAGCACUGCGGGAUUUGACCCGAAAGGAAAUUAAAAGAAAGGUCUAUCAUACUUAGUUUGUUCAUCUCACAAAACUGGUGAGGGAUCGUGCCUUCAAAAUGGUUACCACUGAGUAGAAAAAAUCUCAUGCUUGAUAGAGUGCCAAUCCAUUGAGGGAUACUUCCAGUGAACUUAUUCUCUCUGAGAUCCAAUAACUCCAACGAAGAGCUAUUAUAAAAUGCUUCUAUCAGCUCACCUUCUAAUUGGUUAUUGUUCAGAUAGACAUGACUUAUUGUUGAUGUAUUGAAGCAGGAUGGGACCGAACCACAUAACUUGUUAUGAGAUAAAUCUAAGAGGAGAAGAUCCUUGAGAUUGCAAAUUUCCACGGGGAUAGGACCCUCGAGCUGGUUAUUAGACAUAGAAACUAUCAUCGAAUAUGUCAUAUUACCCACUGAUGUGGGAAUUCUGCCAAACAAAUGGUUGUUACUAAUGUCUAACACCCUUGAAUUUAUGGUAGACAAGCUACUUGAAAUGGUGCCUGACAAGUUAUUGUUGGACAAGUCCAGUUGAUCUAUAUAUUUUAAGUCACCAAAACUAGAAGGUAUACACCCAUCAAACAUAUUUGUUGACAUGUUUAAUAAAUACAAAUUUGGAAAAAUAGAAGUUAUGUUAAUUGGAAUACGUCCAUUGAACUUAUUAUUAGAUACAUCGAAAGCCUGCAUGUCAUGAUUGGAGCUUGUUGGCAACAUGAGAGUUCCUGUAAAAGCAUUAGCCGACAGGUAUAGUUGCACAAGUCUUGUGUUGUUCUCUAACAACCAAGUUGGGAAAUUCCCUCCUAUGUUGUUCUUUGAGAGACCAAUAAAUCUCAAGUUAGAUUGAUAGUAAAAGAAGUUGGGUAGUUUUGGAUGGCCACUACAAUUUGAAAUAUCAAAAUCCUCUAGUUGAAAACUGGGAACCCAUUUUUCCAACUCGUUUUCAUUUAUUAUUUCAUUGGUUCGCACAUAUAAAUGCUUUAAGUUUGAAUGAUUGAAGAAUGCCUUGAAAGAAAUUGGAACUUGAAAGUGGUUACUUGAAAGGGAGAGAUAUUCAAGCGAUGUGAGUUUGGAAAGUGGAGAUGAGGCAACAUUUCCGGUGAACUUAUUGGAAGAGAGGCCAAUUGAUCUAAGAGAAGUCAUGUUUGCAACACAUGAGGGAAGCAUUCCUUCAUACUCAUUCCCCAUCAAAUAUAACUCUUGGAGAGUUUUAAGUUCACACCACCCUGCAAAAAAAUCACUGCUUCAAUAGCCAUCAAAAAAAUAGAGAGUAUAAAGACUUCGCCCAUAAAAGGUAAGAAAAAUUUUUGUGUCCGAACUUACGUUUUAAGUAAGAAAAUUACAUUUUUAUUGGUGAAAUAUGGCAAUAAGUAGCUUAUUUUGAAUGUAACUCUUAUGAGGGACAAAGCCAGAACUCUAUAAAAAAUUCUUUUAUGCUGGACAUAAUUUUUACAAAUAUAAAAAUUCAUACGGAAAAGCAUUGUUUACCAAACAAGUCGUUGAAGUUUACCUCGAACGGGAAGGGUACCAUUGAGUCCACAACUAGACAGAGAUAAAAUCUUGAGGGAACUCAAUGCUCCAAUACUUUGUAGAAAGUUCCCAUCCACAUCAGAAUAGUCCAAGAACAAUUGCUCCAACUGUCUUAAAUGUCUCAACUCUUAUGCACGAAAACAAUGGGAUGGGCAUUAGAAUUGGAGUUCAUAUUAUAAUUAGUAAUAUAAUUUUUGUGACUAGAAAUUACAACUCUUUCGGGUUACCAAAUGUUUCUAUAUUUCCGUUUAUAUAAUUGAAAAUAGAAAUAAUCGAAGAAACAAUUUAUUAAUGAGCAUGCUAAGUCAUGGAAAACAUUGUUUACCAAACAAGUCGUUGAAGUUUACCUCGAACGGGUAGGUUGCCAUUGAGUUUGCAACGAGACAAAGAUAAAAUCUUGAGAGAACUCAAUGCUCCAAUACUUUGUAGUAAAUUUCCAUCGACUGUAGAAUUGUCCAAGAAUAGUCCCUCCAGCAAUCUUAAAUGUCUCAACUCUUAUACACAAAAGCAAUGGAAUGUGCAUUAGAAUUGGAGUUCAUAUUAUAAUUAGUAAUAUAAUUUUUGUGACUAGGAAUUACAACUCUUUAUGCUUACCAAAAGUUCCAAUACUUUCAUUUAUAUAAUUGUCCCGAAAAUAGAAGUGCUCGAGGUAUGAGAAUGCCCUCAAAGGUUGCACCAGGUUGCUAAUGUUGGAGACACUUAUGCCAUCUAAUUUUAGCACUCGAAGACGAUGCAUACUUUUGAUGCCUGGAAUGGAGAACUAUCUAGGGUAAUAUUCAUCAACGUUAAUUAUUGAGAAAUGGAAAAUUAAAAUGUUUUAAGUGUCGACGAUGAAAUGUAAUAAACAACAAACUACUAAAUUAGUGAUAUGGAAGGGCUGUGAGCAAAAUAAUAGGGACGCUUCGGCUCAUGCAUAAUAAGGCACAAGAAAAGGAAAUUAAUAAUGAAUAAGGAUAAAGAAUGAAUUGAGGUGAUAUACCAUAAAUGGUACCCGAACUUCCAAAUUGAUUUUCACUUAGGUCUAGCUCCUUCAAAUUGAUAAAAUCAUUCAGAUCUAUCAAAAAGGAAAAGUAAAUUUAUUAAAAGGUCAUAACAAUAUAGUCUUCUUUUGACCUAAAAACAAUUUAUCACACUUGUAAAAGGAGACUCACUUAGCAUCGACAGAAUGUCGCCGUUGCUAAUAUCAUCGUUACCUUUGAAAUCAAGAACUUCCAGCUUGGUUAAUCCGAAGAGCCUUUCACUGCCUAGACAAUUAUUUCUCUUAAAAAAUAAUAUUAUGUUUCGUCAAGCUAAUAAAAAUUGAAAUAAUACCCAGAGGAAAUCAAUGUUGAUUAAGAGUACGCACACAAGCAUAAUGGUUGGGAAUCAAAAAAAUAAUAUUAUACUUAUGUAAUAAGGUGUGUUACAAUAUUAGAUGAAAAGAAAUUAUUAAAAAAAAAAAAGGUCUUAUUUGUUGUAUAUGUCUUGUACCAGAAGUUCCCUUAAUCUUUCACAUUUGAAUUAGUACUUGGGUUGAUUAGAACUAUUAAUAUAUCAAUGACAUUAACAUAUGCGUUUCGUAAUGCUAACCGUAUUAGGAAGGGCAAAUGACAAAUGUUUUGAUCUAAUAGGAAAGCAACUAGCAUAAUUUUCGAAGUGGCUAUUCUUAGAUAAUCAAAUGAUCUAUCAAAGAACGAGCAGAAUACAAAGUAUAUUGAACUUACUGUUGCUGAAUUUUUUUCUCAUUAAAUAGUUGUUUCCAAAACCCAAAUACUUUAGAGAAGAAAGCCGACUAAGAAAUGACAAAAUUUUGUUAUCAAAUGAAUUCCAACUCAAAUCAAGGGCCUCCAAAUUUCUCAACUUCGACAGUCUAUCAAUACCUGCAACAAAGUUCAAUAUAUCUAUAAUAUCACUCGAAGGAAAAACUUAGACAACCAAAAAACAGAGGAGUAAUAAAAUUUAAUCAACUGGCUAGUUACUCGAGUAGAGAUUUCAUCUUGCCUUCAUUCUCAACCCAUCCUACUAACUAAUUUUGCUCCAAGAAGAGAUUUUUGAGCUCUCGAAAUGGAAGAAACAGAGAGGCAUUAAAAUACCAAUCUCCUAAUUUCCUCUCCCUAACGUAAUCAAGAUCAAGUUGGAUUACUCGUUUAGUUGUGUUGCUGCAUUCAACCGAUUCCCAUUGACAACAAUCAGUUGCAGUCUCAUUAACCACCCAUGAAGACAGUGAUUCUCCAUCUGGGAAGUUUAUAUUUGCUCUAAGGUGCAAAAGAGCAACCUUCUCUUCCUCCCAACACCCUAAACAAUACCAUUCAUUUAGUAAUGAAAGCACAAUCAUCACUAGAAUUACCAGUAACUUAAUUCCCAUCUUUCUUAACUGCUAAGCCACAAAUUCUUACUUUUUCUGGAUAAAUGAGGUUGCAAACUCUCCAAUUUAUAGCACUAAGUGGAUUUGACGUGUUAGGCGGUUUGUUUUUAUUAUAGACUUUUCCUUGAAGUUGUAAAAUUCGUAGCACUUUCUUAUUGUUUAAUUGAUUAAUAGGAAAUUGCCCAUACUUAGUUGAUUGAUUGAGGAUUAUAAAAGAACCCUAUAUGAGUUGAAAAUUACUGUCCAAAAUUGACCAUCCGACUUGCCUUCCACAAAUAAUUCAUUGACACAUCAUUAGACACCUAUUUUUAAUCACAAGUGAUGGUGAAUUAAAAGUUGAACAUGCAGAUCUCAACUUACACUAUAUAGUACUGACUUUUUUUUCUUCAUGCACAAGAAAAAAUUCUUUAAAUUUUUUCCUAAUGGAUGGAGAAGAAUUUCCAGGAAGGAUAUUGUUUUUCUUAAAUAUCUAUGUGCAAAAGUGUGUGGAAAAUCAUGAGAAUAAGAACUAAUCAGAAUUUUCUAUUUCCGUGUGCCAAGGGCAUGCCAGAUUCUCUUUUACUAGAAUUCUUAAUUAGCACCAUGUAUUGACCUAAUCCUACGUUCCGUCAUUAUUAUCGAAUGAUCAGCUCACUUUCAUUAUUAUCCUAGUUGUACAUUUUUAUUUUUAUUUUUUGCAAUCAAAUCAUUAAUUGAUUGACAGUUGGAAGAAGAAGACAAAUAUUUUGCAUUCCAAAAACAUUUUCUCAGUAAUGCAGUGCCCCGUGGACCACGUUCCGCAAAGUGGUGGAAAUUGAUGAAAUUUCUACAAUUUGCCCCACCUAUCAAGGUCUAUAAAUGUCUAUAUUACAUGAGAAGUAAAACUUACAACUUAUAUCUAUUUCGUGAAAUAUGGUUCAUUAUUUCUCUUUCAUAUUUUAUCGUUGAAGGAUAUAAACAAGAUUUUAAUUCGACUCAAAAUCUGUCAUUUAUUUAUUCAUCACUAAUGCUCCGUGAAGGAACCUUAUCAUUUUGCAUGAAACCGUUUGGCAUUGAUUAAUUAGACAUCAGCCUUAACAUUUAAAAAAUAAAUAAAAAAAUUACAUUGUUAUUUAUUUUGAAUAUAAUUGACGCUGUCUGCAUAUGGAAUUUAUCAAUUAUUUUAUAGUUUUGAGAUUAUAUUACUUUGUGAUAAUUUUAGAUUGUUUCAUUUUGAUUAAGAUUUCGUUCAUGGUAGUAUUUUAUUUUGAACAAAGCACGUUGUUAUUGAUCUCAUAUUAACAAAAAAUUGUCAUAUGUUGCCUAGUGAAUCGUGGAUCUCAACAUUUUUUACAGUCCUAAGCAAAUAUCUACGUGCAAAAGUGUCAUGCACUACAAAAUCAUAAGAAUAAGAAAAAAAAUCAGAUUUUUCUAUUUUCAUGUGCCAAGGAUAUGCCAUAUUAAAGAAUUACUCUUUUAUUAGAAUUCUUAGCACGGUCUAUUGACCAAAUCCUAUGCUCCAUUAUUGUUAGAAUUCUUAGCACUAUAAUUGAUGACGAUAAACAAAUCAUAAAUGUUUAAUUUUUGCAUGUAAAAAUGAUACACAUAUAUUUAUGACCAAGCAUAAAUUCUAUUUAUUCUAUUAGUACUGUUAAUAAAAAUGCUCAAGUAUUGCAUAAUUAAUUCACAAACAAUUGAUAUUCUUCAUAUUCCAAAUAACAGUAACUGAGUAAGAUAUAUAAUCUUUUAUCUUGUUAUAAGAUAUUUAAAUUCUUGAUUUUUUUAAUUUUUUAAUUUAUUAUUAUUAUUAUUUUUAAUUAAUUUAUUUUUUUAACAAUCAAAUCAUUGAUCAAUUGACAGCUGGAAGAAGAAGAUAGAACUAUUGUACAUUCCAAACAACAUUUUCUCAGUAAAGCAAUGGCUCAUGGACCCCAUUCAGCAAAGAAUUUCUACAAUCAUCUACGCCUAUUAAGGUCUAGACUUAUCUACAACCACACCUUUUUCCACCGUGAGAAGACUUCCAAAUGUCCAUUUUAAAAGUGGUAAACUUAUGUAUCAGUUUUCUAACUUAUGACUCAUAUCUAUACCGUGAAAUAUGGUUCAUUGUUUCGUCUUUCAUAUUCUCUCGCUGACAAGGACAGAUCCCUAAUUUUCAUUAACGUGGGCUAAAAUUUAGAAACAACAUUUUCUCAGUAAUGCAAUGGCUCAUGGACCCCAUUCAGCAAAGAAUUUCUACAAUCAUCUACGCCUAUCAAGGUCUAGACUUAUCUACAACCACACCUUUUUUUCCACCAUGAGAAGACUUCCAAAUGUCCAUUUUAAAAGUAGUAAACUUAUGUAUCAGUUUUCUAACUUAUGACUAAUAUCUAUACCGUGAAAUAUGGUUCAUUGUUUCCACUUUCAUAUUCUCUCGCUGACAGGGACAGAUCCCUAAUUUUCAUUAACGUGGGCUAAAAUUUAGAAACAACGAUGCAAUAAAAUUUAUAGAUAAAAAAAAAAAAAAAAAAAAAAAAAAAAAAAAAAAAAAAAAAAAAAAAAAAAAUUUAUAAAAAAAAAAAAAAAAAAAAAAAAGUCAUCGAAAGACAAUAUUUAUUCAAGUAGUUCUGUUGAGGGUUUGAAACAUGCAAUAAAGAUGGCGUUGAUGACGGUCCAUGACGGUCCAUACAAUGGUCACAACCUGAGUUGGGGUAAACUUCAACACUAUCCCUUUCCUUCUUCACCCCUACUAACUUUUCCAAAUCUGAAACCCACAUCAUAAAUAUUAAACUAUCUUCCUCCAAAAUAAUCAAAGGCGAAAAGGGAAUGCAAAUUAUCUUAGGAAUAUAAAAGACUAAAAAAAAAUGAGAAAAUACAAUUUAUUGUUUCGGAAUCACGAGAUAUAGAUAGAGAGAGAGGAGAUGUCUGGAAUGGGUUUGUGUUUGGGUUUGGGUUGGGGAAAUGGGCUCAUUUUAAAUGUACAUCUUAAAAUGAAGCAUUUAAUUACCAUUCCUCUCAAUGCAAAGCAUUCAAUCAAUUUUGAAAGUCUAUACACUAAAAUGGGUUUGGGUUCGGGAAAUGGGCUCAUUUUAAAUGUACAUCUUAAAAUGAAGCAUUUAAUUACCAUUCCUCUCAAUGCAAAGCAUUCAAUCAAUUUUGAAAGUCUAUACACUAAAAUUUAUUCGAGAAAUACGUUACUUCCUUCAUUAACAAAUGUCGUUUCCUCAUCAGUGGAUUCCUGGCCGACAAAUUUAUUCCUUUUGGUUAGAAAGGUUACUUAUCUCCACUUUUAUCCUUGAAUUCUUUUGAUUUUACAUAACUAAAGAAUAGGAUUGGCAAUGGAGUGGGAUCUAGGUCCCCCACCCCCACCCCGUCGAGCAUUUUCCCGCCCCGUUACUCAUUUAAGGUAACAGGACAAGGUGGGGUCAGGUAACGGGCAGGGCAGUGCGGGGAAAUGCCCCUACCCCUUUUUAUUUUAGUUUUUGAUAAUUCAUUGUAUUGCCCUCAUUCAUUUAAGUGAGACAAUAAUAUAGUUGUUAAAUUUUUAAUUAAUUAAUUUAUUUUUAAAAGUUAAAUUAUUCGAAUAUAUUUGGUAAAAUAAGGUUUUUAUUGUUUAUUAUAUUCCUUAGAUAAUUUUAGUUGCCAUCUUCUAUUACAAUAAAUGAAAUUUUGUAGAGUUUUCCAAUAUUGAAUUUUAAAAAAAAAUAAAAUUAGCGGGGCGGGAUUGGUGUUACUCGUACCCGCCCAGUUCUCACCUCAGGGCAGAAUUCCUCGCCCUGAAUACCAGAUUAAGUUGUUAAUCUCCGUCUCACUUGGGGCGGGUCCUAUGGGUAUCCGAUUUGAUAGGUUUUUUUUUGCCAUUCCUAUUAAAAAAGUAAUUGAGUAAACAUUAGUAAGAACCAAGUAAAAAAAUUAUACUAUUUAAAUAGAAAAUUAAUAUCAGACAAAAAAGACUAAUUUGGCUAAAAAUUACAUGAAAAAGACCCAUAUAAGUAACCAAUCCCAUAAAUCCUACUCAUAGAUGAAACUUACUGACUACCUUGAAACAAUCGAAAGGCAGAUUUCCAAAUAUGGAGCCCAUCUCAAUCGAGUGAGGACUGAUACGGCGUUUCCUAAUAUUCUAGCAUCUAUGAAAGAAAUAGAGAGUAGAGAAGGUGAGAAACACAUGGAGCAAAUAAGAGCAUCGACUCUCUAAAUACAAAAUACUCCUUAUUUAAAAGAGAUAAUACUUAAAAAUGAGCUAUAAAAGACUCUUUAUUUUAACUUUUGUAGAAUAAAGAAUGGAUUUGACUUCAAGUUAACACUUAAAAAUAAGCUAAGCGAUUUUUUAUAUUAAUUUUUAAAAUAAAUAGUGAGUUUAGCUCUUAAAAUUAGAGAGUCAAAAACUCAUUCUCUAUUCUUAAUGUAUAAUGAUUGCAUUUAAUAAGUUAAGGUAUUUCAAUAAUAUUGCUUAAGCAACUCAAACUACAUUUAAAUUGAUUGGCCAUUGACAUAUAAAAAUAACGUUAAUAAAAUAUAAGGAGAAAUUAACAAAUGUUUUCUGAGAAAAGCAAAAUAAAGAGCCAUAAUAAUGAACAAUGUUGAAGUGUAAAAAAAAUUUGACUCACAAAAUUUAAAAACUCUUUAUAUAAUACAUAAGAUGCUAUAGUCUCUUGAAUAUAAGCCAAGCGGGAUGAUGUCUAGGUUUGGGUUUAAACUGGACUAAUGGGUGUUGGACUUGGGCUAUUAUUAAUUUUAAUACAUACGUCCAUUGAUUUGACGGUUGGCUAACUAAAGUAAAUAAUUAAAAAAAUACAUAAUUGCCAUAGUUUGAAGGUAGGCUAACUAAAAUAAAUAAUUAAAAAAAUAAAUAAUUGCCAUAGUUUUAAAAUACACUUUCAAAUUUAAUGAACUUGUAGAAUUCUUUCAGAAAUCAUGUGAUCGCAUUUAUGAUCAUCUGGUAAAGUUUUAUAACUUAUUAAUUUAUCAAACAGGUCAAGAUCAUGAUAACAUAUAAUUAAUGUCACAUUCACAUGCUAAUCAUGUCACAAAAUGUCACGGUCAGAAAAACACAAAUUGUGGGGUGCUAUUUCGAAUUUAAUAUCAAACUACCGUUUUAUUAUGUAGUAGACAAAGAUAUGUAGUGGCGGCGAUGGGCUGCUAUUGCCGUGGGUGUGGAUUGGGAAAUGUGGGUUUGGAUUUGGAAGAAAUGAAUUAAUUGAUGGGGUAGGGUAGUGUGAGGUAGUGUGGGUUAUAGUAUAUACCUGACUCUUGAAAAGAUAAAUGUAAUUCUGAUUUUACAAAUGAAAUGAUAGAAAAUAGGGAUGGGUGUAAUUUUUCCUUAAAAAAUGUAAAAUUGGAUUUUAGCUCGCACGAGUUGAUGCCCAGGACCAUCCAUCCCUAGGAGAAGGUUGUGAUCAUGAUUGUGGUGAUCCUAGAUGGUGGUGGUGGGAUGGUGAUCGGAGGACAUUGAAGUCGCGAAUAGUUUUCAGCACAAUGGUGCAACAGGAGGUGCAAAGGAGGCUGAACCUUUUAAAAAUGUGCAGUGCAGUCUCAAACCUUCAAAAAGAGUAGCACAUAUUUCUCAUACCUUUUAAAUAUAUGUCAUGGAAGGAUCUUUAGACGAUUUUUGUCCAAAAAUCUAUUACUUGACCAAAAGUAAUAUAUUACAUAAAUGAAUGAGAUAUCUAUAUUACUGGUUUGGAUUUCAAUAUGGAAUGUAUUCUUCUUCCUCAUUCAUUUCCCCACUACACUUGCACAAUUACAUUCUGCCUUCCAAAAUUCUUGAAUUUACAAUUUCUAUCCUCUCCCUUUUCAUUUUUCUCCUUAUUUAACCAUAAUCCUUUUCCUAUCUACUUCCUUUUCUUUCCCUUUUAUAUUUAUAGACAAAUAAGAACAUGCUCCAUUCUCUUUCAAUAAACUAACAUCCAUCUCACUCAUUUCCAAUUAUUAUUGUUCAGUAUUUCUUCUCCUUUUGUCUAAGUGUGUUUACAGAAGCUAUUCCAUUUAGUCAAUUAUUUUUCUUGCUAACUCCUCUUAAUUUCUUGUUCUAAUUGCAACCUACUUGUAAACCCAUUUGCCAAUCUUUCUUUUUGUUCUUCUCUUUUUCUUUUUACAAUUCCUCUUUUGAUUUCAAAUUAGAAUAUCAUCUUGCUUCCUUUUCUUUUUCUCUUCUUUCAUUUUUCCUGUUCACCGUUUAUUAUCUUGUGUUUCCUACUAUUCUCCAAUUUUUAAGAUGAAAAAGCACAAAAAAUGAUCCUUACCUCCUUGUUUUGCCAAAUGAAAUGAAAGCACAAAUCUACUGUCAUUCCCUCUUUCUGUUUUUGAUCUCUACUCUAAUUCUUCUUUUUAUUUUAAUUCUCUUACGGACCAUCUUUCUCACCGUAUUGUGUCUCUCUCGAUUGCUAUAUGGAGAAUUCCAUAUGCAAUGUAAUUAUAUUAAGACCCCGUUUGGCCCCUUUUCUCUUUCAUUUUCUUUCUCUUAUUUUCAGCCACGUAAUCUUUCAUAAAAUAAUAUUACAUAUAUUGAAAACUUUUUAUUCUUUUUCAACCAUACAUUCUUAAAAAAAAAUACUAUUCCAACCAUUACAAUUUGGAAAAAAAUGGGGGCUAAAAUAUGGGUUUUAAGAACCAAAUGAUGGGGAUCUCCAAUCAGUUUGCAAGUUCACACCCUUAUUAUCUUACAAUGUAAAUUUUUAACCCUUUAAUUCUAAUAUAAGGAAAAUUAAAUCCCUAGAUUCAUAUUUUAUAUUAACUACAAAUUAGACCCCAUAAAAAUCAUUUGUUCGACUUAAGUCCUUGGCCUUGACUUUGACUACAAAUGAGUGGGGUAUAACAUCUUUCGAGUCUGGUAGUUCCCCCUAUGCAAAGUCUAUCAAGAAAACUCUUCAUGAAUAACAAUGUUAUAUUCUGAGUCAUUGAUCCAAUCAUCUUCACAAUCCAUUUAUUUAGGAAAGACUAUCACCAAUGCUAAUUUGUCCUUUAGACUUGAAUUGAUUUUCUUUUCUCGAGCGUGUUCAAUUAUUAUUGUGCAAGCUUCAACGUUUCAUUCUUCUUCAGUAUUGUACUUAUCAUCCUUGAUGGUAUAAUGCCUUCUGCUUGCUCAUUCUUAAAUCAGCAAUAUCUAGCAUAAUUACCCUUUUUUUCACAUACAAAAUAUGAGACAACAGUCCAUCAAUAUCCUUUAGAUGACUAACCUCUCUUAUAGUAAUUUUUUCUUGAGCCCUCCUUAUCUAAUGACUUUCUCCUAAUUUUUUUUAAUUCUUUAUUAUUUUAUUAAUGAAAUUUGCCUAUUCUUUUAUAGCAGAAUAAUGCUUCUUCUUUUUCUUUUAUAAUGAAACCCCUAACAUUUGUGUGAUCGAUGCUUUUUGGUCGGCCAGCAAUUUUACUACUGCUCUGGCCAACCUUUACCAAUAAAGCUUCUAAAUUCGAAUCUCAAUCCAUGUAUGAUUAUCUUCUCAUUUUAGACUCCAAAAUUUUACUCAAAGAAUUUAAAAUGAAAAAUUUCACAACAAAGAAAUUUAACUUUGUUAAAAUAAUUACAGCCAUUCUCCUUGAACAUAGAGAAGCUCAUUUUUUAGAAGUUGCAACCGCAUAUCAUUUUUCUUUGAGAAUAGUGCCGUUGAAGUGUCCCAUACUUCUUUUGGUAUGUUCUAAUCCCUUACGUGCUCCAACAAUUAUUUCUCAAUAGUUGUUUUUAUAACAAACAUAGCCUUGCUACUUUGAUUCUCCAACAUUUUAGAUUCGUGACUUCUUCGACGGUGUCACAUCACUUCCACCAAAUAUUAGCCAUAGAUCUUACUCUUGGAAAUACAACUCCAUGCGAGUUUUUCAUACAUUUUAGUUCUAAUUAUAAGCUUCUUUACUUCGAUACUACUUUAAGGUCGCUCAUUAUGACUUGAUUUAUCCCAUCGCAACCAAACAAGAUUUAAAAGCUUCACAAUCUCUCUUUCUACAGAAACUCCAAAAGUGCAAAAAUUCUUCCUCGAUCGUCUGCCUUGAUACCAAAUUUUUGAAUUUAAACAACAAGUAAACUAAUUUGAUACACACACAUGUACAAAUCCCUCUAUCUUUCUCUAACACUCAUGCAUACAAUACAAUACAUACAACCAAUAUAACUGCACUAAAAACUUGUUAGCAUGCUCCUUUUAAGGAUUAGGGAUCGAUGUACUACUUUGGCUAUAGGUUGAAAGCUAAUUAUUUAAUAUCCCCACAAAAGAAAAUAACAAGAAAAAAUGAUUUUUCUUCUUAAUUUCUAAAUAGAGUGUGCGGCAUUUAUUUAUUGAAGAAAAAACUAAUUACCUUUUGGUUUGGUGAAUGACUUUCAUUUCCUGCAUGUGUAGAUUUGUAUAGUGAUAACAAGAAAGAUAAUCUGAGUUAUGAAAAUUGAUUCCGUGGAGGACCUCAUUUUUGAAGCUUUUGAGUUAUAAGUGUUGGAUUUUUUAAUUUGUCAUGUUAGGCCUUACAUAUGUAAUCAAUCAUGUAUCUAAAUCUAUAUUAAGGUUAUAUCUAUUUAAAGUGGUCUAAUAAAGAAUUCAAGUUAUUUGGCUUUGGGCAUCUAAUAUGGUAUGGCCCUAAAUAUGCAUAGAAAUCAUAUUCCUCUGAUUUGUAAUUCUUGAUGGGACCAAACACAUAUGAAAAAAAAAAUAAUAAUAAAAAAAAAAAUAUAUAUAUAUAUAGAGAGAGAGAGAGAGAGAUAUGGUCCCCAAACCGUACGUGAUUUCUCAUUCUUUAUGACAUCCCAUCAAACAUAAAAAUAACAGGAGAACGUAUAUCGUGGAGGAAGCUCUGGUACCCAUGAUCUAGAAUCAAUAACAAGGAAUCAAGAUUAAAAAGCAAUAAGCAAGAAUACGCAAUUCAAGAUCUACCAAUCAAACUCAUUCCCAAAGGAUUAAAGUAUGUUCUGUAUUUUAUAAUUCUCUUGGUGAUUUGAUAUAGAAGAUCUUGGCAUCAAUAAAUUGACAACGUUAACAAUCUUUUCUUUGUUCAUUGUUUGAAUCAAUCAAUGUAGAACAUUUUAGACCAAGAAAUUUAUCUAUGCAUGCUUCUAAUUUCAAGUUAAUUGGUGGUAAGUUGGUGGCCAUGUCCUACUCUCUUUGUUAUGUUAGGAUUGUUCAUGAACUGAAACCAAUUGGUUUAUGUCUCCUUUAGAGUUAUUUUACAUUGAGGUGUGUAGAGCCAAUGAUAAAAUGGACCUUGACCUUCUUGAAGGCUAAGUCAUAUAGAGCCACGUAGAGGUAAUGUUGUUAAGAUCGUGUCAUGUGUAGAUAGUUUCCACUCUACUGAUUAGCCUUUAAAACACGUCAAAUAGUGCCCUGCUUGAUUAAGGGGUUUUGCCUUCAUGGAUGAUCAACUCAUUGGUUUCGUGUUUUACUUAGAAUUUUACAUUUGAUCUGUAGGACUUGGAAGUCUUUUGAUCAGUUUCGAGUUAAGAAUUUGUUGCAUCUUGAUUCUUGAACUUGAACACUUUAAGUCUUGAACUUUGAUGUUUGAAGUGUAUGGCAUAAUUGGUGAGCAAUUAAGAAGACUGAAGUAUGGUUAAAGAUUAUGGUUAAGAAUACGGAGGCGGUCGUGCCCAAAUAAACACCUAAAAAGGUCCUCUAAAACUGAACUAGACGUGCUCAAUAUAUUAUUUUCACGCUUUCUAUUUUAUUUGAAUAAAUUUUCAUUUAAUAGUUUCUUAUUAGGUAAUCGAAAUAAAAAUAAGACUUGCAAAAUAAGGUGUUAUUGGAUCAAACGAAGAAAUGUCAAUAUUGGAUUUAAUUAAAAAACAACCUAUCUUAUGUAUGAAUUUGUUCUGUAUAUUCAGAAUUAAGUUGAGUACUUUUAUUAUAAGUUGUGAAUUGUGAUUGGGUCAUUAAUUUUGAUCUUAGUUCUUAAAAUAAUUUGAGCCUCUUUUAUUCUCAAAUUUCGGUAAAUGCUAGCUGUUGAGUGACUUGAGUCAAACACCAUGGCUCCUAAAUAUGUGUUGGGAGCUCAAAAAAGGAAGAAGUGGGAAAGAGUGGAGGCAUUAAUUCGAAGCCAAGCUAGAGAUAUGGAUAAGUACUUUAAUGGUAAGAAAAGAAACGAAAAUGAAGAAACACCAGCAAAUUUAACGAUUGAGGAACAACUGAAUCGGAAUGAUAGUGAUAAUGAUAAUUAUCAUGGGGAUGAACAGAAAGAGAACAAUGAAAUGAUUGAACUUUCCAAUAUGGAUGAGUCGAAACAAAACGAUGAAAAUGAUGCUCAACAUGAAUAUUUUAAAUCAAGAAAAUUGUUUUUCUUUGAAUUUUAAUGAUCCUGAAAAUUGAAGGAAAUUCACAUUAAUCAAAAGAUAAGGAAUUUUUUAGUUGAAAUGGGUCCAAAAAGAGUUGAUGACAUCUUGUUUCCUAGAGAUAGUCAAGGUAGACAUUUUGAUUCAUCACAAUAUAAGCGAUUAAUGGCAAAUGGGCAAACAAUUGAUAAAAGAUGGCUAGUGUAUUCAAUUUCUUUGGAUAAGAUUUUUUGUUUUUGUUGUUAGUUAUUUAAGAUAGAAAAAAUGAUAAGAAAAAAUAUUGGUCAAUUGGGUAAUGACGGAUACAAUGAUUGGCAUAAUGUGCAUCGGCAUCUUACAAACUAUGAAGUGUCUAAGGAGCAUAUAGGUUGCAUGAUUAGUUGAAUGGAACUACAAAAUAGACUUCAAACAAAACAUAUAAUUGAUGAAAGUAUACAAUUGUCCCUCAACAAAGAAAGAGAGAAUUGGAAACAAGUGUUUGCUAUCACGAAAAGACUCGCUAAAAAUAAUUUGGCAUUUCGAGGAGAUUGUGAGCAACUUCAUGUUGUGAACAAUGGACCUUUUUGCAAAUGGUAAAUAUGGUUUUUGAGUUUGAUCCAAUAAUAGAAGAACACAUUCAACGUGCUCAAGCACGCGAGAUUUAGUAUACAUAUCUGGGUCCUAAGAUUCAAAAUGAAUUUAUACAAAUGUUGGCAAACAAGGUGAGAAGUGCAAUUGUCAUAUAAGUGAAACAUGCAAAAUAUUUUUCUGUCAUACUUGAUUGUACUCCAUAUGCAAAUCUACGCAUUGUUCUCUUCUUCUCCCAUACAAUGGAAAUUUUUUAAAGAUAAGGUUCAAGUCUGACACUUAAACCAUUGUCACAAACAUCCUAUGAAGGUCAUAUGGAAAGUGUGAAGCCUAUAAAAAAACAAUCUAUACAAAUAAGAGAUGCUUUGAUUUGGCAAACAUUGUUGAAGAUCAUAAAACAAAAGUGAAGCUAUGUCCUUAACAACAUAUAAACUUGAAAAUUUUGAGUUUUUGCUUGGCAUAUUAAUUUGGUAUAAGUUGUUGCAUGCAAUCAAUACUGUGAGUAAAUUUUUUCAAGCCAAAAAUAUAGAGAAUCUGGGUUUGCUAGUGCCAUGGAUGAAGCUAAAUAGAUGGCAAGUGAAAUAAGACUUGAACCUGUAUUUCAAGAGAGGCGUAGCAUUCGAAGAAAGAAGCAAUUUGAUGAAAGUAGUAGUGAAGAUGUAACACACUCGGUUAAAAAAUCUCUUAGAAUUGAGUAUUUUCUCUUUAUAAUUGAUCAAGCUUGAUCAUCACUUCAAACUCGUUUUGAACAAUUAACACAUUAUGAAGAGAUAUUUGGAUUUUUGUUUAAUUUGGAUAAGUUAAAGAGUAUGCAAGUUGAUAGUUUGUUGAAAUCUUGAGCAGUAAUUAAAACAUAAUGGACAUUCAGACAUUAUAGGUGAUGACUUGUGUUUAGAGUUGAAAAGCCUUAAGGUGCUAUUUAACUAGAGAAACAAAAAGAUCAAUUGAUGUGCUACAUUACUUGAAGAAAAUGAAUUGUUGUUUUCUGAAUGAUUGCAUUGCUUACAAGAUUUUGCUCUCCAUCCGUGUUACAAUUGUAUCACCAGAAAGAAGUUUCUCUAAGUUGAAAUUAAUUAAGACUUAUAUUUGAUCAACUAUGCAGAACAAAGAUUGAAUGGUUUAGCCAUGUUAUCAAUUGAAAAAGAAAUAGUUGAACAACUCAACUAUACAAAAUUAAUUGAUAUUUUUGCCUCGAAAACUGUAAGACGAGCUGUACUUAAGUAAUCUUUUAGAACAUUUUCACAUUGUAAUUUGAUUAUAAUAUACAUAUUUUAAAUAUUUUAUUUUCUUUGUUUUAUUUUUUUAUUUUAAGUUAACAGAUUUAGUUCCUUAAAUCUCUUAUAAAUGAAAAAAAAAAUUAUUGCUAUGACUUAUGGGCUCAAAAUCUAAAGUUAGCCCCUUAAAACACAAGUCUGGCCUGGUUGGAUGUUCUUAGAAAUGGGUGAUUUGAAAUAGAUUUGGUAGUGAAGACCAUAUUAUUGAGUUGCACAAGUUGCUUUACAUGUCUAAUGUUCUAGAUCAAUCAUCCGAAGAGAGGACUAUGACUGACUAGGGAGCCAAACAAUGACGGAGACAAUAAUUAAAGCUUAACCAAAUUACAAGAACAGACUAUAUAAAUGAGAAAUUGAACUUAACACAACAAUUCCAAAAUUUUCUUGUGAAAAAAUGAAAUUUUUAAAGUGUAAAAACUUCUAUAAGUAUAAAAUGAAUAUUUUUAAAAUGGUUUCAUUUGUGUUCAUGUACAACAAUUAGACCGGUCUUAGCUAAGCAAGCAUGAUAUACAAUGCCAUUUAUUGAAUAGCUUAAAGGCUAAUGUCUUGAUAUCUGAAAACAACCAAGUUCUCAAUUUUUUUGGACUAGCCUAAUGGCAACCAAUGGCCUAUAUCCUUCCGAAUAGCUCAAUCGUAACAAUGUGUCUAAAUGGUCUUAUCGCAAAUGUAUAGUCAUCUUCUUAUGAACAGCUUGACGGCAACCAAAUUAUUCAAAGGAUCCGAUGGCAAUCAUAUGGCUCUAAAGGUCUAUCGAAAACCAUGUUAUUUCAAAGAGUUUGAUAGCAAUGGUGUUAUUCCAGACUGUCUAAGGGCAACUAUGUUGGCUCUUUAUCUCCCGAAGUGGAAUGAUUCUUGAAAUUUGGUUGGUGAGGUAACCUUGAACUUUGUUAAUGACAUUCGAGACUUGGCAAGAGAUCUACUUGCUGAGUUUAGUUCACCUAUUGAAUCUUCUGAGAGUAGAUAACAUGUUAGGGUCACUGAUGGCAUUUUUAGCAUUGGCUCUUCGAUAGUAAAUAGAGAAUAGUAAGUAAUAGAGUAAAAUUAACUGUUAAUCAAAAGAAGAUAAGAAAAUACUGAACGGUAAUGUAGUAAUGCACAAAUAUUAUUUGUAGGCCCUUCCCUGUCAUUUAAUUCUGAAAGGAUUUGUUAUCUUGAAAAUGAUAAAGUCAUUGAAAUCAAUAGUGGCACCAUAUUUCUCCCAUUUAAUCUAAGCCCAUUCCUUGGUAAGAACAUCUUCCAUUGUGCUACACAGAUAUUUGGUAAGUUCCUUAUAAAGGUUGGUAUUAGAGAGGAGUCAUUUUUGCAAGGUCGAUAUGCAGUUUGCUGAUCGUAGUUGGGGAUCGAGAUAUUCUUGAAGUUGAACCGUCUUACUUAUUUACAUAAGGAUUCAUUUUCGUGUAUCACAUGGUAAAGAUUGUUAGACCAAUUUUCUAACUUCCUGCUGCUAGUGAAUUGUACAAAAAAUUAAUUGUUCAUUGAGAGAAUUAUUUGGAAUAUUUGCAUAACACUCUGGGGCUUGCCCCUACCAAACUAUAGUCAAUCCCCUUACAUAUAUAGCCUCGUGGAGAUCUCAUGGAGCCACGACAAUAAUUUUUUUGCUUGUAUUGGGCUAUAUGUUCAUUCUGAAAGUCCCACAAUAAGGCUUCAUGUUAGGAAAGCAAAAGUUUUUGUCCAUUUCUAACAAAGCUACUAUUGAUGGAAGAAACUCUACGAUGUAGCUAGCUGCAUCUUCUUAAUAGGUGUUGGUACUCCAAUUACAGGAUAAACAACAACUUCAAAUUCAGCCAGCUUUCAUGUAAACUCUAGUUCCUGAUUGGUCGAUAGGUUGUGUUUUUUCCUCUUCCGACCCUGUAUUCUGCUGUGUUUUGAAUCAAACAUUUGAACAUACUAUCCCAAGUUCAUUUUAGUUAAUUGAAGGCAUUAACCUAAUCGAAGUUUGAAACUGUAAGUGGCAUACUAUCGACGGAUCAAUCACUAAUGAGUCUACCUUCUAUUUUUCUAAAGUCCUUGAUUUCUCAAACACAUCUUAAACUCUAACCGUCUAGACAAAGUUGAUGGUGAUUGAUAGGUAUAAUUUUUACACAUAUUCGGCCAUUAAAAGUGAAUAGUUGUAACUCAAAUUAUAAAAUUACUACUUAAUUUUUUUUAGAUGUGUGGUAAUACAAUGAUUUGGUUCCAAAGUAUCAAUGGGAGGUUGUCAUAUAUCACGAUUAGUGCCUAUAUAUAUAAGUUGGAUGACUCUAUAUGAGCCAAGGUAUUCGAAAUAUUUGGUAGUUGUGAGUCUGUUUGAUCAGAAUCUACAUAUUCAGUAUGGUUGGCAUAAUUAGAUGAGGAGAUGUCAUUUGAGAUAAUAAGAUUUUGUGUGAAACUAAGAUGAUUGAGAUUUAAACGGAGAGAAGUUGCUGUUGCAAUUAAGGUCUUUGAAAAGGAAAAUAUUUUCAUAAAAGAUAACAUUCAUUGAAAUGAAAACUUUUAUUGUCUCUAAAUACCACAAUUUGUAUCCCUUGAUGCUGAAGAGAUAAUCAAUGAAGAUGCACUUUCUAGAUCUAAGGUCAAACUUGUGUGGACCAUUGGCAAGGGUAAUGGUAAAGGCUAGGCAUCCGAAAACUUUUUAGGUGGGUUUGGUUUGGUUUUAAAUAGUAUUUCAAAGGGACUUUUAUGGUCUAAGAUGGGAUGAGAUAUAGGUGAGUACAAAAUCAUUCCAUACUUUAUUGGGAGUCCAUUUUGAAACUUCAAAGCUCUUGCCACAUUCAAAAUACGCUGAUGUUAUCUUUCUACCACAACAUUUUGCUCUAGGAUUUCUACACAUGUUCGUUGGUGCACUAUGCCUUUUCUUAGAUAAAAAUCGAUCAUAUUAAAUUCACCACCAUUGUCUAAUCAAAUGGUUUUAAUUUUGAUUUCAAGUUGCAUAUCCAUCAAGGCAUAAAAAUCUUGUGAAGUAGCGGCUGCAUCAGAUUUUAAUCUCAGCAUAUAAAUCCAUGUGCAUCUACUCAAAUCAUCAACAAUCGAUAAAAAAUAUUUAGAACCAUCUCUAUUGAUUUCAUUACAAGGAUCCCAAAUGUCACAAUGGAUUAAUUCAAAACAUUUUUUCUGUUUUGUGCUGACUUACAUUAAAGGGUGACUUUUGUGUUUCUUUGUUAAGGGACAAUUGGUGCAAGAAUUAAUACUAGAAGAAAUGGGUAUGUGGACUUUGCUAUCAAGAUUAAAAUUAGAGUAUGAGGAAUGGCCUAAUCUGCAAUGCUAUAUAUCAAAUUCUUGAUGCCUAUUGGUAGUUGAUGCAGGUAAGGGAAAUGAAAACUUGCAUUGUUUAAGAACUUCUAACAGAGCUGAAGGAGAAACUCGCUUUCACAGCAUAUGGUAUACUAUAUCUUCCACCUUACCCAUUCCAUUCAUUCUCCAAGUCAAAAGGUCCUGAAUAUACCUAUAGUUAGAAAAAGAAAACAAGGCAAUAGUGUUUGGAAUCUACUCAAUCAUACGCAGCAGAAAAUAAAAACAGAUUUCAAUUGUCCAGUUUUCAAUGAAAUUCCACACAGAGAACAAGAUUUUAGGAACUAGGGUUUUUGUCCUCUUGUGCUAGUAAGAAUAAAAUUCUAUACAAAUUGAAAACCCUAGUCGUUCAUUUAUAUAAAUCCGAACGGGCUUGGCCUGACCCGGUCUAGUAUUUAAUUAACCCAUUUAAUUAAAUUCAGCCCCUGAAUCAAUUCAUCUAAUUAAUUAAUACGGGCCUAUAAAUAAGCGACCCAAUUAAUUAAUUUAUCCGAUGCUUGUUAAAUUAAUUAAUUGGUAAAAUACAAUAUUCUAGUUCUUCUUUUGUGUGUGACCUAUUAGGUUCCCAAUCACGAUACCUAAAGACGUAAAUUAUUAUUUUGAUCUAAUCAAAAUCGAUAAAUUAAAACAUUCCUUUUUAUUUAAGACCAACUCACACUUGUCGUCCCAAAUUGACAUCUAGUAAUGUAUUAGGGCAAUACAUGUCACGAAAAAUGUCAUGUGAUAUGACAAAAUCAAACUUGUUUGUUUACCGUGAAACUAUAAUCCCUUCAUCAGUAUGAUCAGAUCAAUUACAAGUUAUGGAAAUAUGUCAAUCUCGAUUAUCGAUCAUAUAUUUCAUUCCAUUAUUAAGUCAAUAUAAGUCAAAAACUCAUUUUCAACUUAUGAGUAUACCUUGGCCAAAAAUUUCGUUAUCAACUUAAUUGAAUGAAAUGUAGAUCAUAAUCUCUUACUAUCUAAGAGUGACGAAUCCUCUAUUGAUCAUUCACAACCUUCAUAUGAUUCUUGACAUACUUAACGGUCCUUGGUAGAGCAACAUCCAACAUCACCAAAGUAUGACUGCCCUCGUAUGAGGCACUAUGAUGAUCUCAAUUCAAAAGACCAAUUCUAUUACCGACUUUAAAGAUUAACCACUGACAUUCAGAUAGUUAUCCAUGUGAAAUCUCCCAGCGGGUCUCCAAUGUUUUGUUCUAUAACAAAACAUCCACAUGUUCAUUCAAGUGUCACCACACUUUAGCUUGUGAAAUCAGUUACUUACUUCACAAGUAAGAAAUGCCAUACGUGAUGGUCUAUUCGUAACAAUGAUAUUCAUAUCUCGUUAUUACUUAAAACUACAGAUGAUUGGAGAUUCAAUUAUAUCUAAUUUGUAUCUUACAAUCACAACUCUUUGUGAUUAAUAAAUUACAAAGAUUUGAGUCUACGGACUUUAUUAUUUAAUUUAAUUGAAUAUUAAUUAAAUAAUAAAUUUUUCCUAAAAUUGCAUCAACUAUAUAUUAGAAGUGUUUAUGUUCAAAUUUGAUUGAACCUAGGACAUAACACUUACAAACUCCCACUUGCACUAGAUCCAAUCACUUAUGUAUCUAAUACCAUAAGAGCAUACAUGAUGAUCAUGUUUAUACUGCGAAAACUAUUUGUUAGUGGAUCUGCAAUAUCAUCAAUUGUAGAAAUUUGUUCCUUUCUUUGCUUCAUUUCUAUGUGUUAUCUCUCUGAUGAGAUUAUACCACUUUAACACAUGUUCAGAUCAUUGAUGAGACUUUAAUUCCCUCACAUGUGCGAUGACUUUAUUGUUAUCACAAUACAAUAACAUGUGAUCAACAAUAUCAGGAACUACUUUGAGUGCAUUAAUAAACAUCUUGAUCCACACUGCAACUAUUUGAUGCUUCUAAAGCAAUCGUGUGUUAGGUUUUUGCUCUUGAAUCAAUGGUUAUUUCAUGUUUGGAUCAUUUCCAACACACCGCUUAAGAGUAAGCCAAUUUCUUUAUAUAAAAUCUUGAGAAGAUUUUAUCUAUGUAGAUUGGGAUUACUUAAGCAAUCUUCUAGAUCUAUCUUCAUAAAUCAAGUUACUUCUCUCAUAUCGUUCAUGAAGAAAUCCUUUAAGAACCAUUAUUUCAAUGCUGAAAAGUAUGGAUGUCAUUUCGUAUUAAUAUUAUGUCUUAUAUAUAUAAUAUAAGGAAUGCUACAAUGCUCUCACCAUCUUGUUGUAAACAUACGGUUUAUCUUCAGUUUUGAUAAAAUCAAACCUUUUGAUUUUCCCAUCAAAUUGAAUGUUUCAACUCCAAGAGGCUUGCUUUAACUCAUAGUCACGGUAUGUAACUACUGCAACCAAAAUCCGAAUGGAGUUCAGCAUGGCUACAGGUAAAAGGCUUUAUUAAGGUCAACACUUGUCUUUGUUUGUAACAUUUUGCUACUAGCAUUGCUUUGUAUGUACAGAUAUCCCCAUCCAUGUCGACCUCUUCCUUAUAAAGGAUUUACAACAUAUGAGUUUUAUCCCAUCAGGAAGAUCGACCAAGGUCCAAACCUUGUUUUCAUACAUUGAAUUCAUUUUGGAUUCCAUGACCUCAUGCCAGCUAUUUAAGUCAACACUUGACUCUGUUUCUACAUAAUUAGUAGGUCCAUCAUCUCGAUUAAUAAUACUUGAUUAGUAAUCGUGAAUUCGCACAUUCUCGAAGGUCGAAUGAUCUUACCAGUUUUAAAUAGAGCUGUCAUGUUCUCAAGAGUCUCUACUUUCUGAUCAAAAGUGUGUCCCUCGUCAGGUAUAUGAUCAAACUCAGAUUCAUCUACCUGAUCAACAAUAUCUGUGGAUUCUUGAACUCUUUUAAGUUUUAUUUUGCUCCCACUGUUAUCUCCUAGAGUAAACAUUUUCUCUAAGAAAAUGAUAUAUCGUGAGACGAAAACUUUCUUCUCAAUGGGUUAUAGAAUUGAUAUCCAAAUAUCUGUUUUAGAUAUCCCACAAAUAUGUAUUUAUCAAAUAUAGUCUCAAACUUAUCCGAUUCAGCGUACUUCUCAUAAGUGUCACAACCUAAACUUUUACAUGAAAUAAGUUGGGCUUUUCCUUUUCCAUAACUCGUAUGAAGUUCUGUCGACUGAUUGGACAUGACUUAGUGUGCAGCACAUUUCAAUUAGUGCACGAGCCCAAAACGAUUUUGGAAGGUUUGCAUGACUUGUUAUUAAUCACACUAUAUCUAAUAGUUCACAAUUUCUAUUUUCAGAUACACCACUAUGUUGCAACAUAUGUAAAGGAGUCCACUGCAAGAUAAUCUCAUUCUCUUUUAGAUAAUAUAAAAUUUCAUCUUUAAGAUAUCUUAUCUUGACCGGAUCUUAGUAUGAGGAUAUCUUUACAUAUUUGUUUCUCUACUCUAGCUUGAAUCCUUUGAACCUUUCAAGAGCUUUAUACUUGAAUUUCAUCAACUUAACUGAAUGAAAUGUAAAUCAUAAUCUCUUACUAUCUAAGAGUGACGAAUCCUCUAUUGAUCAUUAGCAACCUUCAUAUGAUUCUUGACAUACUCAAACAAUGUCGUAUUAGCGGCCCUUGGCAGAGCAACAUCCAACAUCACCAAAAUAUGAUCGCUCUCAUAUAAGGCACUAUGAUGACCUCAAGUCAAAGGACCAAUUCCACUACCGAACAUUAGAGAUUAACCACUGACACUCAAAUAGUUAUCCAUGUAGAAUUUUCGAGUGGGUCUCCAAUAUUUUGUUUUAUAACAAAAUAUCCACGUAUUCAUUCAAGUGUUACCACACUUUAGCUUGUGAGAUUAGCUACUUACUUCACAAGUAAGAAAUGCCACACGUGAUGGUCUAUCCAUAACAACGACAUUCGUAUCUCAUUAUUAUUUACGACAACGAACGCUUUAAGAUUCAGUCAUAUGUAAUUUUUAUAUCACAAUCACAACUCCUUGUGAUUAACAAAUUACCAAGAUUUUGAAUCUACGGACUUUAUUAUUUAAUCUAAUUGAAUAUUACUUAAAUAAUAAAUCUUCCAUAAAAUUGCAUCAACUAUAUAUUAAAAGUGCUUAUAUUCAAAGUUGAUUGGACCUAAGGCAUAACACUUACAAACAGAUUAGAGAUUGAACAAGUUUCUUUGUAAAAAUUAUAUUAGAGGUAAAGCUAAGAAUUUAAAGAACAUCAUGGAGAGUGAGAGAUUUUGAAAAUUUGACGGUUCCUACAUGUGAGACAAGAACAUUUUCUCCAUUUGGUAAAGUAACAAAAUAAGAUACACUAGCUUGAUUAGAUGUAAAAAAUAAGUAAAGAAGUUCAUGUGAUAUGUUGCUCCUCUAUCAAGGAUCCAUGGAGUAUCAAAAAUAUUUUCUUGCUUGUGAUGGAAAGAAUUUUGGCAUGAUGGUAUACCAGACAUUUUAUGGAUCAUUUCAUUAGUUGAAAAAGGAGUAACAAAGGCCUGAACGUUUCUUACCAAAGAAGUGAAAGGUUGAGAGUUUGUUGGCUUGGGGAGUACCAUCAGCUGAGAGUACUGCUCGUGAUUUAGAGAUACUCUGCCAUUGUCCUUUACUACCUCCCGAGUAAAAGUCAUGCCUGCAGAAACCAUGGUAGCAACAGAUUUUCCAUAAUCAUUAAACUUAUGCCCUGGUGGAAAUCCAUGGAGUUUAAAGCAUUUUUUUGCAUCACGUCCUUGCAUUUGACAAUAAGAGCAAACUGGUCUACUUGGGUUUGUCUUAAAGCAACAUUCAGGAGAAUGGUCUGGAAUUAAGUGCAGUAAUAUCUGUCAUUUUUCUGUGAUGAAAGAUUUGGCUUGCCUUCUUCUCUAAAGUUUCUUUUACUAAGAAGAGGCAUGGAGUCAUAACUUAUGGUAUUUGGGUUGAAUAUUUCCGUCUCUUCUUUUCUUGUUGAAUUAGGGAUUAGACUUCAUUCAGGCUAGGAAAUGGCUUAAUCAACGAAAUUUGGGCCUUGAUUAUCUUUUAGGACUAAUUGAAUCACAUUAAAAAUUUCAUAACCCAAUUCCUUAGCUAGUUUUGAACUACAAUCUUUAAGCCUCCACUUGUAUAGUUAGGAAUACUCUUGUAGUUUGGCAAUUCAUCCAAAAUGAUUGUGAGUUUAGAGAAGUAGACACUUACAGGGUCUUGAUUAUGCAUUAAGACUGUGAUAUCCUUCUUGACUUCAAAAAUGUGUGAGGAAAUUUUGCUGAGAGAAAUGUUGCUCAAGGUCAAGCCAAAGAAAAUGAAUUGUCUCAGCGUAAAGAGUAUUGUUCUAGAUAUUUACAAUAUAGCAUUUUGCAUCCAUGUUUAACAACUUCUUUAUGCCUUAGCCAAUACUCUAUUAAUGGAUCUUUUACCUCAAAAAGGUUGCCAUCUAUGAACUUGAGCUCAUUUUUUUAUCAUUAAUGCCCUUCUUAUUGAACGAGCCUAGGAGUAGUAGUAGCUAGCAACCAAAAUGUGGGUAAUAAGCAUUACAGCACUUCCAUCAUUGCUGCCGAUAUAGUAAGGACUACUGGGUUGAGUUGGGUCAUGAGGAAAAACUCCUGAGUUGCUUCCACCAGGCUGCUGUAUGUUUUGGCUGUGAUUUGGACUGAGGUUGGUGUUUGGAGAGGAAUUUGUAUUCCCUACAUUGGAUUCUUCCGUUUAUAGUUUUGAUACCUUAUCAGAUUUUGAAGAAUAAAAUUCUAAUGCAGAAAAAUUGUGAAAAUGUAAGAAUUGUAUUCAUUCAAUCUACACAGUCAAUGUACAAAUUUGAGCGCUAUAUACAUGUAAAGGAAUCCAUAUCUAACUAAUUCUAUACAAAGAAUGCAGUUACAAAACAGAAAAUUCAAGCUGUACAAUCACAAAAUGUUAACCAUUCUUCUAUACUCUUCUGUUGCUACCUCGUCACUGAACUUAGCUGGCUUGCUUCCUGCUGACUGUGCCAAUUCUCUAGCUGAGCAAUAAUUUCAAGCUUCAACAUGUGUAUUUUAGAUAUCUGUUGAAAUUGCUGCUAAUGUUUGUAGUGUACAUUAGCGUAGACUGCCUUAAUGGCAUGGAAAAUAUUUCCUGUUGUGGUGAACUUGGCAAGAUUGUGCGCACAUUCAGGGGCGGAUCGAGAUUCUACGUUCAACUAGGGUGGUUGACUUUGACUUUGACCAUUAAUCGUUGACCAUGCUAAAAUUUGAUUAAAUAAUAUUAAAAACUGUUCGAUAUAUAUGAAAACAUUAUAUACAUAUGAAAAUAUAGUUCAAUACAACCCAAAAUACUAAAAAAAUAUACGAUACAACCUUACUCUGUAACUGUAAACUUAGACAACUGAAUUCUAUGAGGUCUCAUAUUUUGAAAACGUUGCAAUAUUGCCUCAUUCUUAACUUUUUUUAAAAGAUCUUUUUCCACAUAAACCACCAAAUGGUCAUUCAACGAGUCAUCUCCCAUUUUGGUGCGCAAGUCACUCUUGAUUAAAUUCACAGUGGAGAAUACCCUUUCAACACUUGCAGCUGCGACAAGUAAUAUCAAAACCAAGGUGAUCAGCCUAUAAACCAAUGGAAAAUAACAACUACUUCCAGUUUCAACCAACUUCUGAGCUACACAAGAUAUGCUUUUGAGGUUAAAGAAAGCUUUGUCCAUUCUCAUAAGCAUAACUAACUUGUCAAGUUCAGGUCUAAGUAAUAAAAGCUCGUCGCUAUUGAAGUCCAAAUGAUAGAACUGGGCAAGACGUACCAAUUUAGCCUGACCAAAAGCUGCAAAUGAACUUCUUGGACUUAAACACGAAAUGUAAUCAAAGAACUCAGUAGUUGUUUCUGAAAAACGAUCAUUCAAUUCUUGCAAGAUUGAGUCUAUCACAUGACAAAACAAAUCAACAUAAAAGCGAUGAUAAUAAGUCACUUGUUGAGCUGCACGCCUAGGCCGACCUUUCAAUACUACAAUAUCUUCCAUAUUGGGCACUGAAAUAUGUCUAUCAACACAAACCUUUUCAAUUAGAAUUGAUUAAAAAAUCACAAUUCUUAGUAAUAAUUCCUAAAUCCUAAUUUCCUUUGCUACGAAGAUAUGAAUUAAACAUUGAUUCACUAUCACUAAUAACUAAUAAGUAAUAAGUAAUAACAUGUACAACACUCAAGCCAAUCAACACUUCAAGUCUCCAAAUCUCCAACAGAGUCACUCAACUCAAGUCAUCCAAGAUUCCAAGUGCUCAACAAACUCUCAACACCGUCACUUCAGGCAUCAACAUACAACAAAUUGAACAAAGGGUCGGCAAAUUUCAGUUGCACCAGCACAAUUGCACAAAUCAACAAACACAAUACGUCAAGUCGUCAACACAGCAACACUCAAUUUCUCAAUAGUCAACACAAUAAAAACAGUCAACAGACAAAGACAAAGUUGAGACAAUUAGAAUUCAGACAACCAAAACAAUUCAAUUAACCAAAUAUUCAACUCUUCAACUUUAAAUAUUGAACUUAAUAAAUUUUAACUCACCAAUCAAUCACCAAUGCUGCAACCUACAAUGUACACUGCAGGCUGCUUGUGCCCGACCUCACCACUCACGGCUCACCUCGGACUACCGUCCUCGGAGUCUGUCUCUGGUCUGGUCGGAGAAGACAGAGAUUCCCCCCUAACUCUAAGACUUCGCACACAGCACACUGGCGGACACGCAUGUUCACCGGCUCAUCUCACCGCCUCCAUCUAGUGCUACUGCUUCGAAUGGAAAUUGAAGGGUAAGUCAAAGUGGGUAACUAGUAUCUAUAUAAGGGAAGGGACCAACUGACUAAGGGUUUGCGAUUUUAUGGCUGAUUUUAGGUUUGGGAGUUGGGAGAAAUAUCAAUUAAAACCAAUAUAUCCAAUUAUCCAUGGACCGUUGAAUGGAUCCAAUUUCUAUAUUUGGGCCAAAAAAAUUUUUUUAAAAAAAUAAGCCCAAUUUCAGUUAGAUUAGCCCAAAGAAAAAAUGAGAAAAGGGGUCGUCUUCUCCUCUUUCGGUUUCGGCUGAAACUGAGUUCCUCCGUCUGGAAUUGUUGCACGCAGGCAUGUCUACUACCAACCUGGCGGCCACUGAAUUGACUGAAGACUCCGGUGGAGCCAGCACGUGCGGUCGCGCCCCUUUGCAGGGUACUGGCUCUACCACUGCGCACAUUGGAUAAUCGAAAUUCCAAGAUUAGACCCUCUGAUUGAAAUUCCUUUCUAAAUAUAAUGUAGUAGAAUCAGAAGGGUUCCUUUACAAUAUCUUGGGGAAGUCAUAUUUGAAUAUAUGGUUAAUUUCACAAACGGUCACUGAAGUUACUCCAAAAUUACAAAACGGUCACUGAAGUUACAAACUUGCACUGACGGUCAUUCAAGUUAGGGGCGGUUUCAAUAAUGGUCACUGAAAUUUGUAAACUUGCACAAAUGGUCACUUUAGUUACCAAAAUGAUUAUAAUUCAAACUUAAGGACCAAAACAUGUGAUCAUACAAAAGGAGGACCGCAAGUGCAAAAUUAUAACCGUAAAACACCCAAACCCUUUGGAAAGUUUCACAACCAAUUUCCAUCUUAAUUGGGGCCGAAAAUGGGGGGAAAUUGGGCAAAAAUCUUGCCUAAUCGUCCAAUAAAUUGCUCCCAAUCCUAGGUGAGUGAAAGAGGAAUUAGAGCUACGCAACAAUAAACUGGCAGAGGAGCGUUGGUAUGCGCAGGGAUUAGCAUCUGCUGCUGUUGAGUUAAAGGCUCUGUCUGAGGAAGUUGCAAAACUAAUGAAACACAAUGAAAAAUUAGUUGGUGAGCUGGAAGUGCAAAAAAAUUCUGCAACUCAGCGUCGAAACACUAUUGCCAACAGGAAUGGCAGGAGAGAUGGUCAUGUGAAACGACAUGAGCAAAGUGUGUUGGCCUCAGUUAUGAAGAGAGAAAUGGCCCUGAGUUGUGAAAAAGAGCUUUCAUACGAAGCUGCUCUAGUUGAAAAGGAUAAAAGAGAAGCUGAUUUACAGAGGAAAGUUGAAGAAUCUAAACAAAGAGAAGCCUACCUAGAGAAUGAACUCGCAAACAUGUGGGUUCUCGUGGCAAAGCUAAAAAAGUCUCAAGGAGUUGAAAAAGACUAAUCAAAAAGAGAAGCAUAAGAUAUCUGAUGACUUUCAGAUAUGAAAUAGUCAGAUGCCAAUGUAAGGAUUUUAGGAGGUAGUAAUUGUAAGAAGAGAUUGAAGAGACAAAAUUUUCCUUGCUAGUUGGGCGGAUUGGGUUGUGCAUUGUAGAGUUGAACACUUUGUUUUAUUUUUUGCAUCAAAAUUUCUACUGUAAGCCAAAUCAAACUUUGCAUGAAGAUUCUUUCGCUUCUUAUAUAGUUGCAGAAAAAAUUUUGCCAGAAAAAUUUCUACUGUAAGCUACUCUUCGAUUUUGCCAAAAAAAUUGCAGAAUUUUUUUUCUUUUGCGGUUUUUCCAGAAAAAUGAAGAAUUUGAGGAUUUGGGUUCUUGAUUUCAAGCUCACCUAGGAUUGGGUACAAUUUAUUGGAUGAUUAGGCAAGAAUUUCUCCCAAAUUUCCCCCCAUUUUCGGCCCCAAGCAAGCUGGAAGUUGGUUGUGAAGCUUUCCAAAGGGUUUGGGUGUUUUAAGGUUAUAAUUUUGCACUUGCGGUCCUCCUUUUGUAUGGUCACGUGUUUUGGUCCUUAAAUUUGAAUUAUAAUCAUUUUAGUAACUAAAGUGACCAUUUGUGCAAGUUUACAAACUUCAGUGACCAUUAUUGAAACCGCCCUCUAACUUGAAUGACCGUCGGUGCAAAUUUGUAACUUCAGUGACCGUUUGUGAAAUUAACCCUUUGAAUAUAUGUUCUUGUUUUUCUUUAGUUAAAAUUUAUAUGUUGGAUUGUAUUAAGUGAAUGCAAGGAUGGUUUAGAGCAUGUUUGUUAUACAAGACUCUCAAUGGUGAAGGAGUAUUUAACUUGUAAUACUGUCAAGUAAGUCAAACAUGUCUUUAGACCUGUAUUCGGUGGGUUGGUUUCUAUAAAAUUUGUGAAUUUGAUAUUUUAUUCUUAACGCUGUUUAUUUUUAAUGGAUGUUGAUAUUAAUUGGAUUAUUUGUUUUAGCAUAGGUUUUUACUAAUAGAAGACAAUACAAUCUGGAGUAUUUACUGGUUACUCAAUUCUCUCUACUGAUUUUGCUCUCCAAAAUGAUGCCAAAGUUAAUUACGUUUCAAAAAUUGUAGUAGUAGUAGCAGUACUACUACUAAGAAUAAUAAUAAUUUACUCAAAAUUAAUUUACUUACCAAUAUCGAAUAUCUAAGUCGAUUAAUUUGGUUCAAUUAUUUACCAUUACUAAUUACGAAUAUUUAUUUUCUUAUUUUUAUAGAUAUUGGCAAUGGAUGCCAAUCGAGAAGCAUAUGAGACAGGAUUUAUUGAAAAGGCAAUUCAUUGAUUCGGAUGCCAUGACUAUUCUUAAGGGAUUUCUAUCCAAUGUAAGUCUCUAUCUAAUUAUUUAAGCUCUUAAACGAGAUUAUUUUUAAUAAACUUCAACGACAGUGAAGCAACAUAUAUAUGAAGUAUGGUUUCGUUAAACUGGGCCACUGUAAAAGAAUAAGUUCUAGAAUAAUUCUGCUUAUUCUUGAUGAAAACUAUGGAUAAGAAGGGAGUUUCUAUUUUGCAUUUGUGGAUGCUGAUAAAGAAAACUGCGUGAACUACCAUUAAGAGUUGAUUAAACUAGUGAAAAUUGGUGGAGUUAUAGAGUGUGACGCACAUUAUGGACUGUUACAACGGCAUUAUCAGACGAUAAAGUGGACAAAGCAAAUAGAGUGCACAUCAGAGACUUGAACACUUUCUUAGCAGCUGAUUCUCGUUCUGGUUUGGCUCAUCUUUCCAUUGGAGAUGGCUUCAAUCUUUGCGGUGCCUCAUAUAGCUUAUAAGAAGAAAAUAAGAUAUAACAACUGUUAUUGUUGUAAAAGAAAUUGAACUUUAUUGGUUACUCUGUCUAUUGUUAAGUUGUAUAAAUCAGUUCGUGUAAAUGAACAUCAUAAUUCAUUUGUUUGAUGUGUUGGUUAUUACAAUUUUAUUUGAAGCUGAAAAGGGGUUCCUUUUUUUGAGUAGGCGAUAAAUUUAUUUAUGUUUGGUGUAGAGAUGGAGAAGGGAGGGCCGUACUUGAGAAACAAAAGAGGAGUAAUGAAUGAGCAUUGGUAAAAAAGCAGGAGCUUGAGUCUGCUAAGAAGAAGAAGGUCCUUUUUUUUUUUUUUUUUUUUUUUUCAUUAGACUUUAAUCUGGUAAAUACUUCUUUGGUCACUUAGUUUGUUAACUGCAUGCAUACACAGUUUCUUCUCCUUUGUCUAAUUUUUUAUAAUCAGUCAUUUUUCCUAAUGUGGUAUGAAAUUGAUUUUGCUAGAUAUAUUUUGGAGGGCGAAGAAUUGGAGUUUUACACGAAGAAACUCCAGAGGAAGAAUGGAAAGGGUGCCAGUGGUUCUACAUAGAUCUCAAAAUUUUGCUACCAGAAAAUAUCGUCUUAUAAUACUUUCCAUUUUAUCCUUUGCAAUUUGCUUCCAGCUAUUGAGAAUUAGAUUGAACUUUUCUACUGUCAUACUAAUUAAUGUAUGUUGAGAAUUAUGUUAAGUUGGUUGAUGUUGCCAAUGGUUAAAUGUUAUUCUUUUUUCAUGUACUAGUAAAACUUAAAAGGGGUCCCGCUAUCGACCACUGGAUUCGAUGUAUGCGCGCAAAUAUGAUUAAUGUGAUUUUUUAAGUUAGUGUUAUUUGAUAUAUAUACGCAAAUUGAAGGAUGAAUAAUAUAUAUAAAAUUAAAAGCAUGUAGUAAUUUUAUUUUAUUUUUAGUAGAAAAUGUUGACCCUUGAAAAUGGCCAACAGAUUUCGUUGGAGGACAAUGUGCACAUGGACGUGCUUCGAGUGUGUUGAUUGUAAAAUAGAUAUUGUUGUGGAAGAAGAUGAAUAGUAGGCAAUGAAAAUAUUGUAUUCCCCUCUUUGUAUUUUUUUCAAGAUCAUUCGAUUGAUUUGUCCAUUGCCUAUUUAUAGUGAUUAUGCCAACGUGGUAAUCGUUGGAUUGAAUCCACGUGGUCUGAUUUGUAAACCCUAACAGUUAAAUCAACUCUAUUACUUAUUAAUUACAUUGAUAGACAUUUUUGACAAGAGAUUAGUUACUCUAUAAACUAGGCUGACAUGCCUGACACUCAUUAACUGCGCACGUCACAUUAGUCAACUGUGAAGACGUGCUUGUCUGACCCUCUUCCAGUUGUGAAGGACUUUGGAUAGUAGAGGGUGAAUCACUUCGGCAGAACUUAGUGCAACGAUAUCAGCACUUUAUUUGACAACUUCAGAUGUUAGUCCUUUCUACACCAAUUCUUGUGUACUUGCCAUGUGUAUGAAUGUGAGGUCUCCAAGUAGACCUUUCUGUAUUGAUUAGUAACAACAGUCCUCCAAGUUUAUUUAUGAUCAUUCAUGUGGUACAUAGAAUUUAUAAUUUCAUAAUUUCCAAGAAAAGAAAUCCAUGAUGGAUGCCAGACCCCAAGUCUAAUUUAUCAACAUCGAUGUGGGAAUUAAAAUUUAUGAGAGGGAAAUGACGUUGAAAUUUGAGUUUAUAGUCCCCCGAUUUAGUUUGGGUCUCAAUGGGGAUUAACUGAGGUGCUUUCGUAGCAGAGCCAAAGCUCUUAAAGUGGUAGGCUGAGGUACCUUUGUAGAGUAGCGUUGCCAAGGUUAUGAGUGCCAGAUAAAGGGGCUGGAUAGGGUUAACAUGGGAAUAUAUGAAGGGUCUUGAGCGUUACUAUGUAAACAGAAGCUCUAUGCUGUGUGAGACGAUUUUGAUAGUUUGAACAUCUUUCAUCAUUUAUUACCACAGAUUGCGAUGCUGACUUUUGGUCUUCUCGAGGAGGGCGAUAUCCUCAAUUUUCAGCGUAUUGCAUGUGUUUUAAUCUGGGCCUUGAAACUAAAACUUUGGUUUCAUAGAACGGCCUAUAAGUUUUCUGAAUUCCAACGGUCCAAAUCUUAAAGAUUUGACCGUAAAAAAUGCAUGUGUUUGCCUAUAAAAAGCUCAUCCUUUGCUUUGAACGUUCAUUUACUGGUACAAAUUACUUUGUUUUGUUUCUUUGCAAUAUGACCAAAAAUCAUACUUGGUGGAUUUUGAACGGAGUCGAUGUAAGUGAUUGCUUGGUUUUGGACAAUGUCAUGGAGAGUGCAAGUUGGGUGAUCCUUGGUGCAAUGUAUGGGAUGCUUGGAUUCAUGAAAAUGAAAAUGCAACCUUAGCACAAUCUUCUUUGAACGUACUGGUAACAAUGUUGAAGUGCGGAGGGUCGCCCACUGCCUUGAAUGAAUUAUGUUGCAAUAGGGUACGAAUCCCAACCGAAGUGCCUUGAGCCGCACUACGUAGAUCCACAGGGAUUGGUAUUAACAUACCUCUCCUAGGCAACUAGGUUACCUCCUCUGUCAGUAUUAACUAGGCAGAGUGUAUUGUGGCCAUAUCAUUGAGUUUCGACAUAGCCCGACAGAUCGCGUGAUUGUAAAUGUUGCGGUAUAUGGUGGAUCAUGCCCUUGUACUAGUCCUUCUUCUUAUCAUUUUGUAGGCAACUUCUGUGCCUUUUCACGGGGGUCAACCUUGAAAUGGUCUGACCCUUUGCAUUAUUCUGUCCAUGAAGCAAGUUUUUAUUUCUGAGGUGGACACAUUCGGGCUUUAUUGGAUUGAACCUCGUAGACGCUUGCUGUUUAAGCUCAUAUUUUGAAGUACCUCUAUGGGCUGGGCCCUUUGGGCUAUUUUUCUAUUCCUUUAGAGGAACUACCUUAGAAAAUGCCGUGCAUUUUGUUGAGGGCUUCGUUCGACCACUUCUUCCUUGUGGUGGUGAGUAGAUCAUGUCAUGUCACAUGCCCGAAAAUAAUGUAAAAUAACACGUAUAAUGGUACUGGUAGGAACGGUGUAAUGGGUCGUGAAAUAUGCUAGCCUUAGUUAUUACAUGCAAGCUAUUAGAAAUCUCAAAUUCAAAAGUAGAUGAUAAAACAACGGUAUUUAAGAACGAGGCAACUUAAUGAAAAUUUUCGCAAGUACUCGUAGUAGAUGUGCCCUAAAGCUUUUAUUGAAGGAAAUGAGGUUGUGUACCGAAGCUGCCUACUUCAAAUUCAUUAUGAAGGGAGUUGAUGUCCUCAUUUUUCGAAGCUCCUUGACCUUUGUGUUAGGCUGUUUUGAUAGUUGGUGCAUAGUCCUCCUUUUCAGGGUGUAUGCGUAUUUGGGGUGGUUCCAUGUGGGGUCUUCUUUUGCCAUUUUCUGGUUUCGGCCGAGGUGGUUUCAUCUUUACCUCUUUUUUGAACGGACUUUUACAUGGCUCGUUUUUAGGUUAUAAAUGAGGUAGGGGUACGUCUUUUGAUCUACUUUGAUUCUCUUAUUUGGAUGGGGCUGAAGUUUUUAGCCUCGGAAUAGGAGGAUCAACUCCCAUCUCUUGAGCCAAAGUUUUUUUAGGUAAGAUAAUUCUAUGAGGCUUAUGUCUGAGCUGCUUUGACUGGAGUGGACAAUGUCUCACUUUUCAGCCGUUGUUGUCGAAGGGUCGGCUUUUACUGGCUGACGUUAUUGGACCUACCUCGACAAUUAUAUGCUUUAGCGCCUCUUUCCACAAGAGGAGCUAAUCCGAGGUAGCCAAAAUUGACGCUCAUUUUUUCAGACAAUGUCUUUUGUCUUUCACAUAAGGAUGGUGGUUAUGACAUCUGUCUCCUGACUCUAUCUCUUGGAUGGGAUGGAGAAGACAACAUAUCACUUUUCUGUGGGGUUUGUGUCAUUAGUUCACCGACCUGCUGUGAAGGUCAGCUCAUGUGGGCCAGGGUUGUAAAGUCCGGCUUGGUAGUUAUAUGUCUUAGCACCUCUUUCUGCAAAAGGGCUUCCUUGGGCCUAUGUUUUUUUCUUCUCGCGCGAUCAAUCUUGGUUGGUCCGCAUCCGAGCUAAUGUAGCUCGUCUUUCACGCCUAUUCCUAGGGGAGGGAUGCAUGUAUCUAAGAGCUAGCUUAUCUGCGAUUCCCAAUUGAGGUUGUGCACGCUGAUCUUCCUAUGAAAAGGAGUUGAUUAGAUGUGGCCUAUUCGAGGCGAUAGGAGGGCACUUGGCUUGAGCUGGUGGAAUGGGAGGUCGGCCCUGUCUGUUUCUUGUAAAACCAAGCCUAUUGAAGACACUAGCUUGUCUCCUUGGCACGUUAGCCAUGCUGCCUUCCAAUGGAACAACAAUCUCCUGAGUUAUUCAACCGGUGUUGUAGUUGGCAACCAUGUCCAUAUUCGUCCCUCUUCCUAGGGGAAUGACUUUAUCGUUUUGUGGGGAUUUGGCCAGUUGACCUUGCAUGCAUUCUAGCAGUUUACGCAUUGCAGCGUUCUGUCGAGAGAUUGUUCUUACCUUUCUGAUGACGGUGACCAUCUCUCUGGUGAGCCUUACUGCUAGCCUAGGCCUGCUCCUCAAGCCACUUCUUUGGUGGCAAGUCGCGGGGGUGAUUAGCAACGGUUCCUGGAUUAUUGGGGUACUUUGUGAGGAUGUCUCUUCACCAACGUGUUCUUUGGCCUGUCUUGGUGCAAUUUCUUUCUUCUUCGGACUCAUAGCUGUUCCUUCUUGGUAGACAGCCCUUCUCUGGUUCUGUUUCAGGUGUUGUUUUCCUUUAUUCAAGGAUUUUUCCUUUUACUCAAAGGUUCUUCUCCUUGGCCUUUUUUGAAAAUUCAGGUAUUCUCUUUAUACGUGGAAUUUUCUUGGUUUAGUUGUUCCAAGUUUUUCACGAGCAACAGGUGUCGUUGAAGGACAAUGUGCACAUGGGCGUGCUUCGUAGUGUGUUGACUGUAAAAUAAAUAUUGUUGUGGAAGAAGAUGAAUAGUAGGCAAUGGAAGUAUUGUAUUGUCCUCUUUAUAUUUUUUUCAAGAUCUUUCAAUUGAUAUAAGUAUUGUCUAUUUAUAGUGAUUAGGUCGAUGUGGCCACCGUUGGAUUGGAUCCACGUGGCUUGAUUUGCCGACCCUAGCUAUUACAUCAACUCCAUUACAUAUUAAUUAAAUGUGAUAGACUUUUAACAAAAGGUCAGUCACUCUAUAAACUAGGCUGACAUGCCUGACACUCAUUAACUGUGCACGUCACAUCAGUCAACUCUGAAGACGUGCUUGUUCGACCCUCUUUUGGUUGUAAAAGGCUUCGGAUAGUAGAGGGUGAAUCACUUCGACAGAACUUAGUACAACGACCUCGAUACUUUAUUUGACAGCUGAGGAAGUUAGUCCCUUCUGCACCAAUUCUUGGGGUGCUUGCCAUGUGUAUGAAUGUGAGGUCUCUAUGUGGCCUUUCUGUAUUGAUUAGUAACAGAAAACAACAAUGUGCAAUGAAUGUUACUAAAAAUUAAUGACGAUGUGGCAAAAACAUAUGCUAAAAGGCAAAUGCAAUAUGCAAAUAGUGAUGCAAAAAAGCAAAGGCAAAACAUAAAAAAAAUGUUGCAAAUUAAAACACAAAGGCAAUAUGCAAAAAAGUUGUAAAAAUGCAAACACGAUGAUUUUUAAGGUAAAGAAGAUAGUGAGAAGAGAACGUUGCAAAAGGUAUAAGUGCACAUUCAUUGAACAUUGCAAAAAAGUAAAUGGCAACAUUCAUUUGCACCUUUUGCAAUAUGCAAUGUACAUUGUUGUAUUCUUUUACCCUACGAGAACAUCUAAGCUCGCAACAUACAUCUGAAUGUUGCAAAGGAUGUUUCGCAAUGUUUUUUGCCCAUUACAUGAUAUUGUUUUUGUUAUAGUGCAUAUUCAUCACUUUAUUACUUAUUCAUGAUAUCGUACAAUUAAGAAAUUUUGUUGAUCAAUGACACCACUAGAUCACUAAUCUCUUUAGAUAGACUCUAUUUAGAGGCAUUCAGAGGUAAGAUCAUAUAUGAUUGUUUUGUUCAACUGAUUAAGAGGUGAGAUCAAACUAGAUAUGCUCUGCUGUUGGGAUGAUGUGUCCCGCUAGUGAGGCAAUCCCAUCUGCAGGUUAAGUGCCUAUUUGACAACCAUUCUUGUAGGAAAAAUGUUUUAAAUAGCGAUUUUUAGAAGAAUGUGUUGUUAAAAAAAUAGGAAAAAUUUUAGAACUAGGCGAAGAAUAUUUUUUGUGGAAUGUAUAAUUGAAAAUGAUCAUGUAACAAUAUAUAAAUUAAAUUAUUGAGAAUCAAACAUGCCCUAAAUUUUGUCUACUAGGUUGUGUUGACCUUGUAGUGAUGAAGUCUUGGAGGUUUUGAUUUUACCCAUUGGUUUUGGACCAUGGUUCGGGUCUUCUAUUAUUUACACGUUAGGACAAAAGUGACAUCUGGUUAAUUGGGCUUAUAUUGUGGGCCUCAUUUGAUAUCUUGGGUUAGUGAGGCAAUUUUUGCCGACUAUAGUUUCUAUUUUUUUUUUUUCUCUCUCUCAAUAAAACUAUAUUUAAUGAUUACCUAUUAAAAGAUUCAGUUAAAAAUUUAGAGGGUUAAAAGGAAAAUUGCCGCAUGGACUUUAGCCAGUGGUCUAUGUAGAUAAUUGAACCCUUAUCUUUAUAUCGCUAUAUUUGUUGACGGCUUUUAUUGCUGCUCAUCAAAUAAAUUAGCUUAUCAUUUAACUUUCAUAAAUUAACUCAUCUUGUCCCAAUCACAACCAAAAAAUUAUUAGAAGGGAAUAAAACACUUAUUUGCCCUUAUAUUUUUAAAUAAGCCGUAAAUAACAAACACAUUUCAACAAAAUAGUUUGACCUUACUAACAUAAUAUUUGGACGGAAAAAAUUAUAAAAAAACAUACUAAUUGAUUAAAUUAUUGUGCAAUUAACAAAAAAACAUGGAGUUAAUAUAAUUUCCUAUUCACAUAGCAAAACUUUGUCUUUCUUUUCAUCGGAUUACUAAUGUCGAGUAAUUUAGAUGAUAAACAUCUCGAAGCCUCUCAAGAAUUCAUUUCAACUUCCUGUAUUGUUUUAAAUUUACGGCAUUCAUUGCUUCUAUCCAAGUUCCCGCGUUGUUUUAAAUUUACGGUGUUCACUGUUUCUAUCCAUCCUUGGACUUUAGUCAAGAGACCAAAAUAUUUUCAUAUAUUUAAUUUCAUUUAAAGGCCUUCUUUGUAUAUUUCACUCAUUUGUAUGUACAAUAAAUCUACUUUUGAUCCAUUCAAUUCGAUGAAACUCAAGGGAGAAGACAGUUUGCAUGAUAAAGACAGUCAAUACAUGUGUUUUAGGUAAAUUUUGAUAUCCUAUAUAUCCAAGAAAAAAUUGCAGAUUCAUGUUCCAAACAUUAAUUUUUAUUGUCUAGUGAACAAAAAAAUGUUUAGUAGACCUUGCCGAAUAAGGAAACUUCUAUGUUGUUUAUUUAUGUUAUUAUUUUGUAGAUAAGGUUUUCUUACUCCACCAAUAGCUACGAGGAGAAUUAUAUAUGUUGAACCGUGUCAUGUAGAUGACAAAUAUUCCGAGUUUUUAUCCGUCCUUGUUCAUUAAAACUUUCACAUGUUAGAUGGUUAUUUAAAAGUCAUGAAUUUUACUUGCACAUGAUAUAUAGUUGUAACAAAGAGUGUUAUGAACCGUUUAGAAGAGAAAAUUGCUUGCAAUGUCCCUAAUCGUUGUACCUUUAUAACUUUUAUGUCUAAUCUUUAAUUUAUUUCUUGAUAGUAUUGCAAAAAAUCAUUUCAAUUGUUAGCACUGGGGUCCUUAAUGAUUCUGAUUGUUAAAAUUAAAAAAACAAAAAAAAACAUAAAUGGUCACAUCAGCCUCACGAUUAAAUAAGUCAGAGUAACAAUGUACCAAAAAAGUGCGGCCGGGCAACGAACACUUUGCCUUGGUGGUAAGCGUAUAUUAAGUAUUAGCUCUCCGCUUAAUGUGUUCCUGUGCCAAGGCUCGCUUUACUAUUAUUACUUUUUUAUUUAAAAAAAAUUGACUUUAGUUUAUCAACUUUUUGUUAUUUUUUUUUAUUUUAUUAAAAGACCUUUUCUUUAUUUUAUUUUCUUUAUUUUUUUAAUUUAGUUACAAAAUUUUUAAAAAGAUUAUCCAUACAAAAGUCAAAGAUGACUUUAUCCGAUAAAGAUUUAGAUAAGAUUUAAGUUACGAUGCUAUCCAUUUUAUCCAAUUAUGAUUCCGAAACUUAUCGUUUUGUUGGAAAUUUCUAAAGUAUUUACGAAGUUUCUAUAAAUUUGUUAAGUAGAACUUGUAGAUAUAAAAUUGAAUCUAUAAAAAAUAGUCUAACUUUUACAUUUCUGAAACUUGAAAAAUUGUAUAAUUGGCUUAUUGUAUGAACUAUUAUGUAAAUAUAGUAUUUUAUAAUUUUAGAUGUUUUGUAUGCAUUAUUUAAUUAAUUAAUAAAUAAUUUUUAGAAUGAUUAGGUAUUUAGAAUAGUAAUAAAAAUAAAUAACUUUUUUUUUUUUNNNNNNNNNNNNNNNNNNNNNNNNNNNNNNNNNNNNNNNNNNNNNNNNNNNNNNNNNNNNNNNNNNNNNNNNNNNNNNNNNNNNNNNNNNNNNNNNNNNNNNNNNNNNNNNNNNNNNNNNNNNNNNNNNNNNNNNNNNNNNNNNNNNNNNNNNNNNNNNNNNNNNNNNNNNNNNNNNNNNNNNNNNNNNNNNNNNNNNNNNNNNNNNNNNNNNNNNNNNNNNNNNNNNNNNNNNNNNNNNNNNNNNNNNNNNNNNNNNNNNNNNNNNNNNNNNNNNNNNNNNNNNNNNNNNNNNNNNNNNNNNNNNNNNNNNNNNNNNNNNNNNNNNNNNNNNNNNNNNNNNNNNNNNNNNNNNNNNNNNNNNNNNNNNNNNNNNNNNNNNNNNNNNNNNNNNNNNNNNNNNNNNNNNNNNNNNNNNNNNNNNNNNNNNNNNNNNNNNNNNNNNNNNNNNNNNNNNNNNNNNNNNNNNNNNNNNNNNNNNNNNNNNNNNNNNNNNNNNNNNNNNNNNNNNNNNNNNNNNNNNNNNNNNNNNNNNNNNNNNNNNNNNNNNNNNNNNNNNNNNNNNNNNNNNNNNNNNNNNNNNNNNNNNNNNNNNNNNNNNNNNNNNNNNNNNNNNNNNNNNNNNNNNNNNNNNNNNNNNNNNNNNNNNNNNNNNNNNNNNNNNNNNNNNNNNNNNNNNNNNNNNNNNNNNNNNNNNNNNNNNNNNNNNNNNNNNNNNNNNNNNNNNNNNNNNNNNNNNNNNNNNNNNNNNNNNNNNNNNNNNNNNNNNNNNNNNNNNNNNNNNNNNNNNNNNNNNNNNNNNNNNNNNNNNNNNNNNNNNNNNNNNNNNNNNNNNNNNNNNNNNNNNNNNNNNNNNNNNNNNNNNNNNNNNNNNNNNNNNNNNNNNNNNNNNNNNNNNNNNNNNNNNNNNNNNNNNNNNNNNNNNNNNNNNNNNNNNNNNNNNNNNNNNNNNNNNNNNNNNNNNNNNNNNNNNNNNNNNNNNNNNNNNNNNNNNNNNNNNNNNNNNNNNNNNNNNNNNNNNNNNNNNNNNNNNNNNNNNNNNNNNNNNNNNNNNNNNNNNNNNNNNNNNNNNNNNNNNNNNNNNNNNNNNNNNNNNNNNNNNNNNNNNNNNNNNNNNNNNNNNNNNNNNNNNNNNNNNNNNNNNNNNNNNNNNNNNNNNNNNNNNNNNNNNNNNNNNNNNNNNNNNNNNNNNNNNNNNNNNNNNNNNNNNNNNNNNNNNNNNNNNNNNNNNNNNNNNNNNNNNNNNNNNNNNNNNNNNNNNNNNNNNNNNNNNNNNNNNNNNNNNNNNNNNNNNNNNNNNNNNNNNNNNNNNNNNNNNNNNNNNNNNNNNNNNNNNNNNNNNNNNNNNNNNNNNNNNNNNNNNNNNNNNNNNNNNNNNNNNNNNNNNNNNNNNNNNNNNNNNNNNNNNNNNNNNNNNNNNNNNNNNNNNNNNNNNNNNNNNNNNNNNNNNNNNNNNNNNNNNNNNNNNNNNNNNNNNNNNNNNNNNNNNNNNNNNNNNNNNNNNNNNNNAUCUUCUGAGACUUUGCAAUCCGUUUUCAAAAUAAUUUUUUUGUUGAUAAGAUCGUCUUAAAAUUUUGAAAUACGCAGUACUAUUGAAAGAAUUUCUUUUUUAAUAGUACAGUAAUUCAUUUGAAGGUCGGUUCACACACCACUGUGAUACCUAACUAACUGUUCUUGAGAUGACUCUAGUGGAAUUUGUUUUAACACACCACCAUAUCCAAUAUUCGAGGCAUUUGUCUUAGUAAUAAUUAAAGCUGUGGGGUCAAGGAUUGAAAGACAGGGAAUAUUUUUGAUUGCUUUUUUGACAUUUUGUACUGCAACUGUGUGUUCAUGACUCCAUGGAUCAGGAUUGUUUUGUAAUCUUUUAAAUAAAGGAGCAUAGGUUUGACGUAUACUUUUGAAAAAAUCAACCACAUAAUUGACACAUCCUAAAAAACGUUGCAAACUUGUUUUAUCUAUGAUUUCAUCUGAAAUUUUGUCAAUGAAAUCAAGACUUCUUUGAAUUGGAGUUAAUGUACCAAAAUGAAUGUAAUGUCCAAGAAAUCAAAUUUUUGUUUUACAUAAAACAAUUUUUUUAGCAGAAAUAGUUAAACCAUUUUUCUUAGUAAUAUGAAUAAAUAUAUGUAUAUGCUUGAAAUGUUGCUCUAUACUUUUAGAAAAUAUAAGAACAUCAUCAAUAUAAACAGUAAUGAAAUUUGAAAAAGGAUUAAAAAUAUCAUGCAUAAUUUUUUGAAUUCAGAUGGAGUAUUUUUGAGACUGAAUGGCUUAACAUUCCAUCAGUAUUAUCCGAAAGGAACAUUGAAAGCAGUCUUGUAUCUAUCUUCUUCGUCAAUUUGAAUUUGCCAACAACCUGAUUUCAUAUCAAAUUUUGAAAAGAUGAUAGCUUUGCAAAGACGAUUCAGAAGAUCUUUCUUUUGAGGAGUAGGAUAUCUAAUCCAUUGAAGAGCAGUAUUAAGAGGUUUAUAAUUGAUCACCAAACGAGGAACUCCUCCUUCAAUUUCAGCAGAAUAAUUGACAUAGAAAGUUGAACAGCUCCAUGAGAUUUACUUGAUCGGAUUAAACCUUUCUUAAGUAAACCAUCAAUCUCUUUGAUGCAAAAAUGAAGUAACUCUUUGUUCAUUGAAUAGGACGAGAUUUUGUAGGAAUAUUUGAUUCAUGAAAAUCAGAAUUAUAAGGAAGAGAAACGUGUUUCUUUCUAUCCCAGAAGGCAUUUGGAAUACUUGAACAAAUUUAUUUUUCAAUUUUAUUUUGAAAUUGUAAAAUUUGUUCUUGAAAAAAAGAUUCUUGCAAUCUUUUUUCCAUUUUUUGAAAUUGAAUUUCUUCUUUAAGAAAUUGAAUAUGAUUACGCUUUGAAUUAAUAUUAUUAAUAAUUUUUGAAAUUGCAAAUUCUUUUAAAGAAUUAAUAUCUUUAUAAGAAGGAGGAUUUGAAAAUUCAAAAAAUAUUUUUUGAUCAAAAAUUUUUGUAGUUAAUCCUUUAGCAUCGGCUUUAAAGGGAUAAAUUUGAACAAUAAAAGGAGUUCCAAGAAUAACUUCUUGAUCUAAAUUUUUUACAAGAUAAAAAACACUUUUGGAACAAAUAUUUGAAUUACAAACAUGAGCUUUUGAAAUUUUGUAGUUAAUAAUAAGCUUUUUCCCACUAGCACCAUAACGAUGCUCAGUAGUUUUCUCAAAUUAUUUUGUAGGAAUUAAGUCUUCUUUGAUACAAUUUUGAUCUGGGCCUGAAUCAAUAAGGAACUGAGUUGUAAAUUUGAUUUUUUUAUUUACAAUAAUGGUCAUAUUGCAAUACCAUUUUUGAAGUUGAAUUCGGUUAAUAACAUUAACCUUUUCUUCUUCAAAUUUAAGAAUUUCGAAAUCAGAAUCUAAUAGGUAAUCAGAUGAGGAUUUAGAAUGUUUUGAAGAUCGCUUAGAAGAAACUUUCGAUUUUCCUUUGAAUUUUGAAUAAAAUUCAUCAUUUAAAUCUUUUGCUUUCAUACAAACGACCUCCAUAUGAAUUUCUUUGACUUGAUUUCCAAGAUAUGAGAUUUGAGUUUUCAUAGUUUUAAUCUCUUCUUGAAGACCAGGAAUAGAAGGUUUAGAACUCUUUAAAAAUUCUUUUUGAGCAUGUUUGAGAAUUUGAUUGAUAUUGAUAUCAUCAAAAUCUUGUUUUGAAGUAGAAGGUAAAAAGGAGGAGAAUUUUUUCUUGAGAUUAGGAUUAUCAAUUCUAUCAAUAAUAUCUUGAAUAACAUCUUCUUCUCGAAAUAAAACAUUUAUAGUAUUACAACCACAAAUUUCUUCAUUAGAGUUUGAAGAAGUAUUAGAGGAAUGAAGAUAAGGUUCAUAAUCAGAAUCUUCUUGAUUAAGAAAAACUUGUUCUAAUUCUGAGUUAGACUCAUUAUCAGAACUUGAUUUAAUAAGAUUGAGAAGUUGAGCUUUAGUAUCUUCAUCAAUUUGAAGAUUACUAAUUUUCUUUUUGAGUGGACAUUUAUUUAUGGGAAUAAUGACCAGUCUUAUUGCAUUUCCAGCAAGUAAUACUUGAAUUUUUUUUUGAAAUUUUCUUUUUUGAAAAAUGUUUUCUUUUUGAAAAUUUUCUUUUAUUAGUAACUUCUUCUGAAUAAUUUUUGGAAUAUUUUCUUUUAGAAAAUUUCCUACUUUGAGAAAUUUUUUUAGAUUUUGAAGAAGGAGGACUGAUUUUUUCAAAGUCAUGUUCAGAGAAAGAUCUAAGUUCUUUUCGACUUUCAAACUUUUCUGUUUUCAAUUUAGGUUUGAGUUUUAAAUCAUUGCACAAAUUUAAAGCUUCACAAUUAAUAGAAUUGAUAAUUUCACCAUAUGUGAGUGUUUGAAGGUCAUCAAAUUCUUUAAAAAUAGAAUUUUUGACUCUUUCUGCAAAGAGUUUUGGAAGACCUAAAAUAAAUUUUUCUUUCCAAAAAGAUUGUUGACAAUCUUCUCUAAUCAUGAUACGAGAUAAAAAUAUAUCUUUGUACCAUCGAAAAUCUUGUAGUUUUGGACAUCUUAAAUUUAUUAAAGUGUCAUUUUGCAUUUGAACAAUAUUUUCUCGAGUACCAAAAACUUUGAAUUGAAUCCAAUCAUAGAAACUUAAAUCAGUAGAAGAUUUAAAAUAAUCUUUCCAAUAAGAUUCUUUUUGUUUUGAAGAAAAACUUUCUCGAAAAAGUCUACUAAAAUUUUUGACACAAAUGUCUUGGUCAUCUUUGAAUUCUUUUCUUCUAUCAAUUUCAGAAGAAAUAACAUUACAUUGAUUAUCAAGAUUGGAGGGAGAAACCAUAUCUGAAAAAGUUGGUGAUUCUGGUUGAUCAUCAUCUUUUUCAUAUUCAUUUUGAAAAUGAGGUUUUGGAAUAAUAUGAGUAAAAUUUGCUCCUUUAUAUGAAGAUUGAAAAGAUGAUCUAGGUUUCUCUUCAGACCUAGUAGAAAAAGAUUUAGUAGAAUAAGAUCUUUGAAUCUUUGAGGAUGAACCUUUGAAGAGAAUCUUAGCUCUUCCAUUUGGAAAAGCAAGAAUUUGAUUUGGAAUUAUUCUAGUUUGAGCAGGAACAGGUGUUUGAAUAUUAUCAAAAUUUCAUUCGAGUCCACAAGAUUGAAGAUUCCAUGGAAUUCUUUUUGGAAUUUCGACAUUUGAGUGGAAAGUAUUAACUUCAACUAUAAGACUUUCAUCUCUUGGUGAAGAAUGAAGGGCUCCAAUAUUGAAUUGAGUAUUCAUAAGCUUAUAAUAUACUCUGUAUAUUAUAGCAAAAGCAUUUGAUCUACUAUCAAAUUCAAGAUUUUUAGUUUGAAUAUGAAGAUUGAGAGAAUUAGGAAUUGCUCCAUCAGUGAGUUUGAUAGAAAUAUUUAGAUAACAAUUUGAAAAUACUGGACCACUUUCAAGAUUUGAUUCAAGAAGUGAAAGUAAUGAAUUUUCAAAAUUGAGAUGUCUCGUUUCUAAGAGUAAUAAGAAUUGGAACAUCAAAACCAAGUCUAAAUAAGGGCUUGACUGCUAUUUGAACUAAUCCAACAUUAAGAUAUUUAAAUUUCUUCUUGUGGGAUUCAAUAACUUCUUUAGUAAAUAAAUUAAUGAAAAAUUUUGACUAUUAAUUGAAACAGUUUGUUCAAUAGUUUUGAUAACAUAAUUUUGAUAAAAAUCAAAUUUUCCUAUUUCAUAGAUGGUAUGUUUAUCCAUUUUUGGAAUAGUCCAAUUUUGAAGACGUUCAAUUUGAGCAAUUUGAAGUUCAUGAGAAUUAAAAUCAUUUGAUGCAGAUGAUGUGAUGCAUUAUCAACUUCUUCUUCUGUUUGAAAAACAUUUGUUCUAUUCUCAUUUAAUUGAUUUUCUCGUCUAUUUCUAGAUCUCGAUCUCCUUAACCAAUUUGUUACUGAAGACAUAAUUGAAUUUAAUGAAAUUAAAACAAUUUAUCAAAAAUAAAAACAGUUAAAUAAGAUAGACUGAUUCUUACCAAGCCUACAAACUGGACCACCCAAACACGCCUACCCCGGCAAACAACGGGCUGACCAACAUCUAUUCAGUAGACAUCCCGAAACUAAAUCAGGUUUUCUUAUUUGAACAGUGCCUAUAGUGAUAAAUCAAAGUACAGAGACCAGGGUCGUUACAAAAAAAUGCGCAUUUUUUUGUAACGACCCUGGUGUCUGUACCCAAACCGUUAUCUUACAUACUGUCUGCUUUGGAUGGACCUUGAGCCCACUUACCCCUCACCACUUUCUGUCGCGUCUCCCAGGAUUCGAACUCAUGACCUUUCCCUUAAGUAAGAUUUAAGUUGAAUCCUGGUACCAAUUGGGCAAGUGGUACCAGAAUUUAACUUAAGUCUUAUUUAAGAGAAAUGUUAUGAGUUCAAAUCCUAGAGGAUGCGACAGAAAGCUGUGAGGCGUAAGUAGGCGCAAGGCUCACUCAAAACGGAUAGUACGUAAGCUAACGACUUGGGUAUAUAGACUCGGAUCGUUACAAGAAAAACGUUGUUGGACCUAAGUUCAGUGACCAUUGGAACAUCUUCUUCUCGAAAUAAAACAUUUAUAGUAUUACAACCACAAAUUUCUUCAUUAGAGUUUGAAGAAGUAUUAGAGGAAUGAAGAUAAGGUUCAUAAUCAGAAUCUUCUUGAUUAAGAAAAACUUGUUCUAAUUCUGAGUUAGACUCAUUAUCAGAACUUGAUUUAAUAAGAUUGAGAAGUUGAGCUUUAGUAUCUUCAUCAAUUUGAAGAUUACUAAUUUUCUUUUUGAGUGGACAUUUAUUUAUGGGAAUAAUGACCAGUCUUAUUGCAUUUCCAGCAAGUAAUACUUGAAUUUUUUUUUGAAAUUUUCUUUUUUGAAAAAUGUUUUCUUUUUGAAAAUUUUCUUUUAUUAGUAACUUCUUCUGAAUAAUUUUUGGAAUAUUUUCUUUUAGAAAAUUUCCUACUUUGAGAAAUUUUUUUAGAUUUUGAAGAAGGAGGACUGAUUUUUUCAAAGUCAUGUUCAGAGAAAGAUCUAAGUUCUUUUCGACUUUCAAACUUUUCUGUUUUCAAUUUAGGUUUGAGUUUUAAAUCAUUGCACAAAUUUAAAGCUUCACAAUUAAUAGAAUUGAUAAUUUCACCAUAUGUGAGUGUUUGAAGGUCAUCAAAUUCUUUAAAAAUAGAAUUUUUGACUCUUUCUGCAAAGAGUUUUGGAAGACCUAAAAUAAAUUUUUCUUUCCAAAAAGAUUGUUGACAAUCUUCUCUAAUCAUGAUACGAGAUAAAAAUAUAUCUUUGUACCAUCGAAAAUCUUGUAGUUUUGGACAUCUUAAAUUUAUUAAAGUGUCAUUUUGCAUUUGAACAAUAUUUUCUCGAGUACCAAAAACUUUGAAUUGAAUCCAAUCAUAGAAACUUAAAUCAGUAGAAGAUUUAAAAUAAUCUUUCCAAUAAGAUUCUUUUUGUUUUGAAGAAAAACUUUCUCGAAAAAGUCUACUAAAAUUUUUGACACAAAUGUCUUGGUCAUCUUUGAAUUCUUUUCUUCUAUCAAUUUCAGAAGAAAUAACAUUACAUUGAUUAUCAAGAUUGGAGGGAGAAACCAUAUCUGAAAAAGUUGGUGAUUCUGGUUGAUCAUCAUCUUUUUCAUAUUCAUUUUGAAAAUGAGGUUUUGGAAUAAUAUGAGUAAAAUUUGCUCCUUUAUAUGAAGAUUGAAAAGAUGAUCUAGGUUUCUCUUCAGACCUAGUAGAAAAAGAUUUAGUAGAAUAAGAUCUUUGAAUCUUUGAGGAUGAACCUUUGAAGAGAAUCUUAGCUCUUCCAUUUGGAAAAGCAAGAAUUUGAUUUGGAAUUAUUCUAGUUUGAGCAGGAACAGGUGUUUGAAUAUUAUCAAAAUUUCAUUCGAGUCCACAAGAUUGAAGAUUCCAUGGAAUUCUUUUUGGAAUUUCGACAUUUGAGUGGAAAGUAUUAACUUCAACUAUAAGACUUUCAUCUCUUGGUGAAGAAUAAAGAGCUUCAAUAUUAAGUUGAGUAUUCAUAAGCUUAUAAUAUACUCUGUAUAUUAUAGCAAAAGCAUUUGAUCUACUAUCAAAUUCAAGAUUUUUAGUUUGAAUAUGAAGAUUGAGAGAAUUAGGAAUUGCUCCAUCAGUGAGUUUGAUAGAAAUAUUUAGAUAACAAUUUGAAAAUACUGGACCACUUUCAAGAUUUGAUUCAAGAAGUGAAAGUAAUGAAUUUUCAAAAUUGAGAUGUCUCGUUUCUAAGAGUAAUAAGAAUUGGAACAUCAAAACCAAGUCUAAAUAAGGGCUUGACUGCUAUUUGAACUAAUCCAACAUUAAGAUAUUUAAAUUUCUUCUUGUGGGAUUCAAUAACUUCUUUAGUAAAUAAAUUAAUGAAAAAUUUUGACUAUUAAUUGAAACAGUUUGUUCAAUAGUUUUGAUAACAUAAUUUUGAUAAAAAUCAAAUUUUCCUAUUUCAUAGAUGGUAUGUUUAUCCAUUUUUGGAAUAGUCCAAUUUUGAAGACGUUCAAUUUGAGCAAUUUGAAGUUCAUGAGAAUUAAAAUCAUUUGAUGCAGAUGAUAAUGAUGCAUUAUCAACUUCUUCUUCUGUUUGAUAAACAUUUGUUCUAUUCUCAUUUAAUUGAUUUUCUCGUCUAUUUCUAGAUCUCGAUCUCCUUAACCAAUUAGUUACUUAAGACAUAAUUGAAUAAAGAUGAAAUUACGAUAAAACAAUGUAAAGACAAAACAAUAGGAUAGACAGGUUCUCACCAAGCCUACAAUGGGACCACCCUUCAACUCCUACACUGGCAACACGGGUUGACCAACGCUUAACAGCAGACGUCCAGGUUUAAACAAGGUUUUCCUAAAUAUUUUAUGCCUACACUGUUUGAUAAUAACCUCACUUUAAAACUCUUAUGCUCUGAUACCAAAAUGACCCAAAGGAAAUAAAACCAGACAAAAUGAAAAAGAUGAAUUCAAAAUUUUUUCAAAGAGAAAUUGUAUUGAUAAUUGAUAUGUAACAGAAUUGAAAUUACAAAAUAAAUCAGUAUCUCCUCUAGAUUGUUCAACACUAUCUACAUCCUCAUUCUUUUCACUCUUCUAGUCAGAUCCAUUGCUAAUUCUAAUAGUGAAAGCAAUAUAUUUUCUUAUUUUUCUCAUGAGUGGAUUUAUUACUCUGAUUAUUCGAGCUAGACUCAUCAUCAGUGAGAAUAGUAUUUAUAGCAUUAUCCUGAGUUCUCCUACUACUGGGACAUUCGCUUCUGACAUGACCAAAACCUUGACAAUUAUGGUAUCUCACUCCUUUAGAUCCUCUUCAAGAUAUACUCGGGGCACCUUUGUGUCUAUCCUGAGACUUGUUUUUGUUCCUAAACAUCUUCUUGAAUUUCUUAGCAAAGUAGCCUAAACCGCAUUUCCCAAAUAUGUGGUUGUAUAAUCUCAAGAAUUAAACGAUUGAAAUUAAGGUUUGAAUGUGCACUUGGAUCGUCAAAGAAUAAUAUGGAGAGGCAACACAAUGAAAAACCACCAUUUUGAAUGUUCAUAGGUAGGAUAUAUAUAGAGAAAAGUGUGUGGAGUAAAAAGGGAUUGAAAAACCAAGUGUUUGAAGAAAAAUAGAAUUCUUAACGCCGACCUGUCACUCAAGCAAUAGGCUAGCGACAGGCGAGUAACAGCUGAGUAGUUGUCAGUAUUUUCAUCAUAAUUUUCUCUCCCAAUGUCUGAUUGAGGUUAUUCAAAAUGCGUAUAGAAGCUAACUCAAAGGAUUACAGUUAUUCUAGUACUAACCUUGUCCAAAUUUCAAUGUUUUCUAUAUGAAAAAUCUAUUACAAAUUAUGACUAAGAAUUUGGAACAUAACUUGUGCGGCUCUUUGAUAUCCUUUAGACUUCUAAUUGCAUUCCAAUUAUCAUAUGUGAUCUACUUGGAAAUCUUGGACUCUUCCAAGGACUAUACUACCAACUCCAAUUCUUUUGCUAUAAUUAGGACUCAAUAAUUUAACUUAGAUUACAACAUGUCAACAGACUCCUUGACUUUUACAACUUUUUUAUAUUAAUCAUUUUUGUCUAAAGAAUUGCCUAUUUAAUAAAAACCUAGCAAGCACGAAGGGAUAGCUAUAGUUUCUAGGCAUUCAGAUUUGUGUAUGCUAUUCAUCAAGUUUUGAAGAGUAGAUGGAAUAAGAGUAACACUCCUUUACAUUGUAUAUCACAUUCUUUCAUUCCUAAGUGUUACAAUGAAGCUUGGCUUCAAGAUGGUAUUAACAGAGUUACAAGAAUUGCACCACCUGAGGAUCAAGAGGUUUCAAUAAAUAGAAGCAAAUGCUUCAAAAGGUUGUUUGAAAUAUCAGUUGAUUUGAGGAAAACAUAUGUUGAAUUUGGGUCUUUUCUAAUAGAUUGGAGUGUCAGCCCCAUGUUAUUAACACAAGAAUGUACAAGGAAUCAAUCUCUUGGUGGCCAAUCAUGGUUAUUUAGUACCUUUGUUGAAAAUCUGUUGCAUUUAAAUUGUUUUUACAGUAGACAUCAUCUUCUCAUUGUGUGCGAAAUUGAAGAACGCAUUCACUCAUCCAGAGUGUCAAGAGAAACAAAAUGGUGGCAAGUAGGCUAAAGACUUGUAUUUGUUCGUUGCAAUCUCCAUUUCCCGUCAUUGAUUCGCCAAGUUUCUCCAAAAGAAGGCGUGGAUGAAUUUGUAAGUGCUGUACAUUCUUUUCUCUACCAGUUUCUUUUCUCUACCAGUUUUUUUUUUUUUUUUUUAAAUUGAUGGAUGCAUUCUUGAAGGUGUUUUAGCAUUCUGUUUAUUCAUACACGGGAAAUGGGUUUAAGCCACUUCUUAGGUUUUUUCUAAAUUUCGUUUGCCCAAUUUCUUCAGUCUCUGUUUAUUUUCUGUGUGCCGUGAAAAUGUAUCGUUAAUGGAUUGCAUCAAUUCAAUUUGUUUUUUUAAAAGUACAGAGUGAUCCCUUACCGCUGUACCAUAUUAAAUUCUAAACAGAUAGACGCUGCAGCAAAUUAUGAAUGCUAUCAGUGAACGUUG